GAGAGUCUAGGUGAUCUCUUUAUAUUUAAGAACCUGAUCUUGAAUUUACAUCUCAUCAUCAUUUAGGACAUACAUUAGCAUUCAUAUUUGUAUUUAUUGCUCUUAUAUAUUUAUUCUAAUUAUUUAUAUUUAUGGUUCACCAUUCAAAUAUCUAAUUAUUUUUUAACAAAAUUUUUCAAGUUUUAAAAAUAAAUAAAUAAAUAAAUUUAAAAUAAUAUUCCAGGGAAUAUAAUUUUUGUACUUUUUUUAAAUGUUGGAGAGUCACCAAUAAUUAUUAUUUUCAAAGAAUAUUAUUUUAAUUUUUGAGGAAAUGUCAUGAUAAACAUUAGUCUAAAAGGAUUAUCUAUGAAUUAUGCCUUUAUGUCAGAGAAUUUUAAGGUAUUUCUUUAAUUUAGAGAUUUUCACAAUAUUUCUAAAUAAAGAUUUUUUAAUUUUUUAAAAAUGAAUGGAAUUGUAAUUAAAUUUCAUAUAAAAAACCAUUUUUUUCCAGAGUUAUAAAUAGCGCAUGGUUAAUUGGUACCAAUUUUUAUGGGCAUUGUAAGGGUGCUAAUCUUUCUCCAAACAUAAUCAACUCUUGAACCAAUAAUUGUUUGUAGACUAAAAUUAUCUUUUUAAUAAACUUUAAACCCGUUUUAUUGUUUUAUUAAAAUGAAAAAUUUUUGGGUGGCUAAUCACAUCUUUAAAAGAUUGUUGGUGACUCCUCUUGUUUUGAUGAUUUUUAAAUUUUAUGUCUAGCUAUUAAAUCUCCAGACUAAUAAUUAUAACAGCUUGACGACUCCACUAGAGACAUCUUGAGAGUCAAGCCAAAAAUUUUAAAUUAGACGCUAUCGAAAGCUUUUGAUUUAAUCAAUUUUAUUUGAUAUUUAAUUUAAUCCCCUUCAUUUUAAUUUUUCAAAAAAAAAUAAUAAAUAAAUUGCAUGUUAGUUAUUUCUUCUUUUGAAUUUGUUAUUUGAAAUUUAUUUAUUUUGUUUUGAUUAAUAUAUUGUUUCACACACUUUUGCAUAUUCACGUACAUACAUGAGCUUUAGUCUUGAGUUUCAUCCUUUGUAAAAGGAAGUGAAAUAGCUACACUCUCAUAAGGUGAUAACCUCCAUAUUUGCUAGGGAAAUGCUUCCACUAAAAUCAAAAUCUUUCUAUUUGUAGCCUGUAAUGAGUGAGGAUUAGUGUGCCUUAUUAGUUUGUAAUGGAUGAUGAUGUACAUUUGAUUUAGAAACCUUUAGAUGAAUAAAUCCCAUAUCGUGAGUCAUAGGAAGCUUCCUUAAGGUAGAGCCAUACCACCUUUUAAAAAACUAUCAAAAGUUAGAACACUACAUAUGUUUUGCUAUUUUGCUAUAUUAAAUGAUUGUUCUAUUGGUUUUAUUAUUUAUUUGUUAGGAUUAUUGACUCAUUUUUAUUUGUAUAGUCUUUAAUUUUGUUACAUAUAUUAUAUAGGCAUUAUAUUUUAAAAUGGAGUAUUUGUUUUAGGACAGAGAUCAGUAAAUAAAGUUUUCAUAAAGCCACCAGUAGUGUCAACUUCCAAAAGAAAUUAAUUAGAAAAUUGAAAACUAUGGCAAUCUUUUUUGUAAAAAUUACCAAAAUUAGGAUAUGUGAGGCAUUUUGAUACAGUUUGUGUUUGAGGGUAAUAAUACUACAAAUAAAGUUAGGAUAAAAAAAAGCAAAAAAAGAGAAAGAAAAAAAAAGGGAAUCCAAAUAAAAGGAUAGAAAAAGAAAAAGAGAGAUUUAGGAUAGGAGUUUGUCAUCGUUUUGGAGUUUAAUCAUUUCAUUCUACAUUCAUCGUUUAGGUGAUUUGUAUAUUUUGGGUUUUUCGAUUUUUGUAUAUAUCUUUGCAUUAUUAUCAUAUUCAAGCAUUGAUAGAUAUAUUUUAUGUAGCAUGCAAAUUAGGAAUUGUGUCAUUCAUUCAACAAGAAUAAUAGCAUAAGCAUUUUUGGUUUAAACCCUUAAAAAAAUACAUUUGUUUUAAUGGGUAAAGAAGCUGAAAAUAUAGAGGAUCAAUUUGAAGUCUGAAUUAAUGCAUUAGAAUGCAAUCAAGAGGAGUUUGAUCAUGACAUUCGAUAGAUGAAAACACAACUUCCUGAGUUGACAAAAAUGGUUGAUGGACUCAAAGAAUUUAUUUUAGUGUCUACCCAAGGUUCUUUACCAGUUUUAGCUUAAGUAAGUCAUAUGAACUCGUGGAAUCGUAAUCAAUCGAUUCCUGCUAGGCCUAAUACAUUUCUUGAGCAUACUGAAACAUUUAGUGGUUUGAGCAAUACUAAAGGUUUAGAUAAGAUCAUAAAAGGGAUGAGUGAUUUGACCACACAAGUGUUUGAGCUCCAAAAUUUGAUUUCCAAGAUGGCAUCACUAGGUUCCAUGCAACCUUCACCAAUCAUUUUGAAUUAGAAUUUGCAUUCAAAUAUUUCUUAUGAUUGUUUUUUACCUCUUUUCCAAGCAUCUAAGACAAGGACCCAAAACUUCAUACAAUCUCCGAGAAGUCUAUAUCUAAACCAAAAUCUUCAGCUUGCCAUUCCCUAACCACCUAUUCAGCCAAUUGUUCAACUUCGAACCUUUGUACCACUACCAAAUCCUUAGACUCCAAAUCAAUCUAUUGCCCAAAAAUUAUGCAAGAAAAAGAAACAAUUAGAUCUAUCCCCAUUUUAUAUGAGAAAUUCUUUCCUUAUCUAUUUGAGAAACACAUUGUUGUCCCUCUGCCUUUAAAGCCUUUAUAGCCUUCAUACCCAAAAUAUUUUUACCCAAAUGCAAGAUGCGAAUACCAUAACCGGAUUAUAGACAUUCCAUUGAGAAUUAUGAAGGUUUUAAAAGCAAGGUGCAAUCACUCAUAGAUGCAAAAUGGUUCGAUCCAAUGACAAUAGGGGGUUAACGAUUUAGGAAAAAUGAAAAGAGGAUGGCAUGAUGAUGAAUAUGGAUGGGAUUUUUUUAUUAAAAAAGGUCUUUAAGUGUUUGGAAAUGAAAUGCUUUGCAAAUUUCUUUUGUUUGUGAAAUAUUUUUUUAUGUUAAUAUGGUGUUGGUUUUUUAAACCUAGAUAUAUAAAUUAUGGUUUAUCUUUAAUUCUUGUCCUUUUUCUAAUUUUCACACUUUUUAUCAGAGAGCUUUGUCAUUUGUGCAUUCAUUCAUUCAUUAUGCUAAAAAAAACAAAAAGAAUUUAUUUGAGAAUAAUCUUUAUGAUUUCUUCUAAGGAUUAAAAGAAUAUUGAUUUGAUAGGAGAGAUGAAAAAGAUUAUCGAAAGACAUUUUACUCGAGGAAAUGAUCAACCUGAAGGACUUAGCUUAGGACCCUUAAGGGAAAAGUCAUGGAAAUUGGAUGAAGUAUAGUCUCUUGGAAGAAAAGAUUCAAGUUGUUGAAAGUAAGGAUAAAUCAUGUAAUGUAAAAGGAUCCCAGUUAGUUCCAAAUGUGGUUAUUCUGCCCAUGUUCAAGGUUUUAACAUUUGAAAAGUAUAAUGGAACUAGAUGUCCUGAGACACAUUUGGCUCAAUACUAUCACAAAAUAGUUGGGUAUACUAGUGACAAAAACCUACUUAUUCAUGCCUUUUAAGAAAGUUUGGCUAAGGCAAUAGCUAUUUGGUAUUACAGUCUGAAAAGUAGCCAAAUUCCUACUUGAAGGGAUUUAUCUUAGGCAUUUUUAAAGCGAUACUAGUACUUGUUAGAGAUGUCUCCAAAUUGAUUAAUCCUUCAAAACAUGAGGAAGAGCCCUAAUGAGAACUACAAAGAAUAAGUUGCUAGAAAGAAAGAGGUUACAUCGUAAGUUUGGCCAUAUUUAAGUAAUAAGGAGUUGAAUUCCUUAUUUGUGGAUGCCCCUUUUUCUCUUUAUUAUGAUAAGUUGAUUGGUAAUACGUCCUCAGAAUUUAUUAAUCUACUAUUUGUUAUAGGUAAAAUCAAGGAUGGGAUAAAAAAAAAAGAAUUAUGAAUGCCAAUGUGGAGAUUCCUAAUGAAAGGCAAUGGAAUACUUUUGAGGAAUAUGCAUAAGAGAUAAUUGUUGAAAGGCAAAAUGAAGAAAACUUUACUAUGAUAUCAGAAGGUUUGGUGAAUGAUUAUUCCCAAUGGUCACUAUAUUGUUCCCAAUUGACAUCACAAGCUAGUGAUUUUCCUCAACCAUUUCAUUAGUAUGCUCUAAAUCCUUCGCCGUAAGCAUUCACAAAAUAAAAGAUUAACACAAGCCAUUCACAAGGUCAUAAGAGAAAAAAAGUGAAAUGUAUCAUUCACUCCCAAUGUUUUACGUCGAGCUCUUCACUUUACUUGUCAAAAAUCAUAUGAUUUUUGUUGUCCCUACAACCCAAAAAGCUUCCUUACCCAAAGUGGUAUAAUCCAAAAGCUAAGUGUGAAUUCCAUGAUGGGGUUGAAGGGUAUUCCUUAGAAUCUUGUAUUGCCUUCAAUAAUAUAGUUUAGGCUCUGAUUAACACAAAUCCUGUAAAGUUUAAAGAACUGGUUAGUGGUUUUAAUGAUUGAUAGUGGUAUAGUUGCAGGUCAAUGAUGCUAAAGUUAAAGCGCUAAGUAGGGAAACUUUUGUUUCUGUAACUUUGAAUGUCAUCUCAAGAAUACCAUUGAGAAUACGAAUAUUUGGGUCAAGUCUGAAUGUUUGCACUACAUGAGUGGACAUUAUGCAUCAUAGUAUUUUGUGGAUUUAUAUUAUCAUUUAGGUCUUUUUAUUUCCUUUAAAUUUUGGAUAUUAUAGGUUUUCUUUGAAAAACAAUUAUUCAACAGGGGAAAUUAUUGAAUUUGAAUAAAGCCCCACAUAGUUAAGUACCAAGGUUUUAGAAAGAGAAAUGUUUUUAAAAAAAUAUAAAAAAAAAACAAAAAAAAGUUUUGUGAUUAAAGGAAAAGUCUCAAAUCAGUUGGUGAUUGCUAUUAGAAAUUUGUCAAAUACCUCAACACUUUUCCUUAAGCUUUUCAGUUGAUUCCAUUCAAAAGCCAUGACCCUUUAAAAGCCAUGAAUUUGAACUUGUGGAUCUUGCACUUGCUUGAUAAUGUUAUGAUAUCAAAGGGUGAUAUUCAUUUCUAAUGCAAUGAAAAAUGAAACCUUGUUGAAAAGGAAAAGAAAUGUGGUUCCUAGAAGAUCAAAUGAAUAUGACAUUUUUAAGAAUUUAGAUGUGGUAAUUUAAUUUGACAAUGUUAUGCUAUAACUUCAAAAAUUUCAAUGUCAAAGCCAACCUAAAUCCGAUAAAAUGACCUCAGACAUACUAACAUUUUAACUCUUUACCCAAAAAUUGGCCUAGCCUAUAUGUCUUAAGGGCACAUUAAUCAAAAACUUACCAAUCUUUUAGUUCUUUAUCCUAAAAUUAGCCUGGUCUAGUGUCUUGGGGGCACACUGAUUAAAGAAGAAAGCCUCAUUGCCUUUAAGAUAACUUGAGUUAUGAUUUGCUCAGUUGUUCUUUUUGUGGAGCGAUAUGAACUAUUUAAUACCUGAAAUGGAUUUAUUCCACGGACCCUUUUCUUGUUUAUUCUACAUAACCCUUUUUUUGUAAUAACUUUCAUUAAGAAUGGUUUGUUAAAAUGGGGCAUUUUCCAUGAAAUGCAUUAUUGGUAAAGUAAAUUUAGUUAUGACUUAUGGGGACAUGCCAAAGAAAAAGAAACAAAUAAAAAAGGAAAAAGGAACAAAAAGAAGAAAAAAAAAAAGGAAAGGAAAAAUGGAUAUGAUACCAUGCACUUAAAAAAUUUGAAUAAAUCCAAAUAAAGUCUUGACAAAUCUAAAAUUUUAGAGAAGAAACAAAAAAUACACACAAACCGAGAAAAAAAAAGAAAGAAAGAAAAAACCAAAAGCCAAAAAUGAAAAUAAAAAAGAAAAGUAAAAAAAGCCAAUAAUCCAAAAAAAAUUUUGAAAUAAAAUUCUUUAUUCAAGGUCAUUUUCUUAAUGGGAAUUCUUGUUCAAUUUAAGUGAUUACGCUUAAAACGAUAAAUGACCGCCUUUCAUCAUUCAUUCACAAAUAUAGAAAUUUAUUCUUUACUAACCCUUUAAACCUGAUAAAUUUUCUUUAAAAAAUUAACCUUAACUAAGAAUCACCUUCUACACUGGGAAGGCAAAAAGGGAUACAUUUAGGGGUUAAAAAAUAAUGAUGUCCAAACGGAAUCCCAUAUGUUUCUUGGAAAUCAUCUUAGAUGUUCAUCACACUUGAUCUUGCAAUCUUGAAGAGUUUCAACUAAGUUUGCAUUACCAAGACCUUGUAAUUGCUUUUCACCCUAACUCUUAAGAUUAAUCUUGCAAAAGUCCAAGUAUUUUAUCAAGUAAUAUUCUAACUCAUACCCUAACUCUUAAGAUUAAUCUGUGAAUGAUAGCUUUUUUUUGGACUUUUCUUUCAAUAGUCCAUUAAUAACUAUUUAAUGCCAUUUCCUUUAUCAAUUUGUAAGCUUCCUUGAUGGACUUGCUCUUUAAGGCAUCUCUAAUAGCUAAGUCGAUGGUUGUCCUUAUUGGUGUCGCCAACCCUUUGUAGAAAAUAUAUAGUUAUAACCACUUUAGUAACCUAUGUUGUGGACAUUUCCUUAGUACCUUCUUGUACCUCUCCUAAGAGUCAAAGAGUGUUUCUCUUUCAAACUGUUGGAAUGUGGUGAUUUCAUUACUUAUCUUAGCUGUCUUGGUUAGGAAAGAAACUUGGCUUAGAACUUUUGCAACAAAUCAUCUUAAGUUGUGAUUGAGCUAGGUGGAAGCAAAGCUAGCCAACUCUUUACUUUGUCCUUAAGAGAAAUAGAAAUAGUCUUAGUUUUAUAACAUCAUCAGAAGCACCAUUAUAUUUAAAAUAGUCAUACAAUUUAAGAAAAUUAGAUAAGUGAAGGUUAGGAUUAUCAUUUGGUAGACUGUUGAACUGCAAGGUUUUUUAACCAUUUAGAUGAUCAAUGGCUUUCUCUUAAAGUUGUUAGCUUGGAUUCUAAGACUCCUUAUGGAAGGUUGGAAUCUUUCAAGAUCUAGAAUAGCAUAGUCCAUUAAUGUUCUCUAGUUUUUUCUAGGAUAUACCAAUGGGAUAGGAGUUGUUGAUUACUUUCUUCUUAGUCUUCUAGCUAGGAUCUACCAUUGGGACAAUAGUUGUUGAUUAUUUUCUUCAAGGAGUUGUUGAUUGCCUGCGCAUGAAAAUAAAAGAUCAAAAGUGAUAAUUAUAACAAAAUAAAAUCUAAAUUACAAAGAAAAAGAAUUCAUAUUGAUAUUGGUCAUCUUGCACCGAAAUCAUCCCCAGCAACAACACAAAAAACUUGAUUGCUACUUUUAGGCCUGCAAGUUCACAGAUUGUUAUCAAGUAAUAAACUAAUGAUUGAAUAUCAUUCCUAUGAGAUUUAGAUAAGGAAUGCUUAAAAGACCAAGUACCAAAAUUGAUCUUUUUGACCUUAUAUUUAAAUAUUGCAAAAUUUGGGACAAGAAAAAAAAAACUAAAGCGAUUAUCUAAAAAUGUAUGAAAAUGGCAUUUACAGUACUUGCAUAGAUAAAUGAAGUAUAAGUUAAGAGGGGUGACAAAUGGCAAGAGUUGAGCCAAAAGCUACCAAGGCCAAAUGGUGCUAAGAUGCACUUAAGGGGAGAAAACUAAAUAUAUUGAUGCUUUUGGAGGCCGAUUGAAGUGCUUCACAAGAUGAUCAAUGCUAGCACUUGAGUUGACCAAAUGUAACAAGAGUAAAGAAAGAAAAUUUUCAAAGAUGUAAAAGAAAGUGAAGGCAAGAAAACUGUAAGAUGAUUAUGACAUUAGGAAGGUAAAAGGAAAAGCAUAAAGAUUUGGAAAUAAAACUUGAACUUAAAUUGCAUAAAAAGUAAAAGAGACCUUGAAAAUAACUUGUAUUGAAAAGAAGCAAGCUUGAAAACAAAAGUUUAGGCUAGUCUGUUGACCUAGCCAAACAUAAUAAAAAAACUAUAGGAAAUUUUAACUAAAGUUGAAGUAUAAAGAAAAGAAAAGAAUGGAUAAAAUAGGAUGCUCUUCAAGUCAACUUAGGCUGCCUAUUUAUAGGAUAAGGCCAUAGGAAGGGGAGAUGAACCUAGACAAUCCUAUCUUGGCCGAAACUCUCAUUUAAAUUUAAAACUAGUUUUGUUUUAGUGAAUCUCAAAUGGUGACCGUAGAUACCUAAUUUUGUUCAAGGUACUUUUCUUUCUGAUCUAGACUUAUUUUUGCAAUUGGGUUCGAUUUUCAUUUUUCAAGCCUAAUAUAUGACCCAUUUUCAAAAUGCUAUAAACGCUUAUUCAUAAAAAGCUCAUUAAUGGUCAUAAGAAUAAUAAUAGUAAUAAUAAAUAUAUAAAUUAAAAUUUUAAAAAUUUAAAAAAUUUAAAAAUUUAAAAAUUUAAAAAUAUAAAAAUAUAUAAAAAAUACAAAAUUCAAAAUUCAAAAUAUAAAAAAAUUCAAAAUUAAAAUAUAAAACAAUAACAAUAAUACAUAAUAAAUAAUAAAAUAAAAAACAUAUAAAAGUGGGCCAUAAAAUAAAACUCAAAGGCCGCAAGUGGAACGUUGUUUUCAAAGCCCAAGAUAUGUAAAAGGGAAAGGCUUGUUCGGUGGAGCCUGUAUGAAUGCAAAUCAUGUAAAAAACGUGGCUGGAAUCCACAUGCAAAAACAUUCAAAAAUGCCAAGGAACGUGGAAAAGGGGGCUAAACAAAUAAAACUGAAAGGAUGGUGGUCAGGAAACCUGGGGACGUGAGAACGUGAAGAGAAGCAAAAGGAAAGCAUGCAGAAACGGUACUAGCAGGGAGGGUAAAGCAAAAGGAAAAUAUAGAGGGAAACGGGGAGAAGAUGAAAACAACUGGCAGUUUUGAAAAAGGAGAUUGGAAACCACGAAACAGAAAUGAUGCAGAAAAAAAAAAAAAAAGAGACAAAAAAGAGCAGAAGAAAGCAACCAAAAGAGGCUGAACAGAAGAGAAAUAAAGCAGAAAAGCUGAAGCCACGGUACUGGCAGCAGGGAGGACGGCAGUUGACGAGAGGCAGUGGCAACCAAAACUGGGCUGAUGGUGUGGAAGCAAAGAAGGAGGCAGUAGCAAGCAAAACGGAAACCAGAAAUCAAACCAGAAAAAACUGGGCAGCAAGGCAGCACCGGUCGCAAUCUAUAGCAGGAGGAAAAGACAGAGGAAGAGAGGAGCAGGAAAAAUAAAAAAAACAAGCGUGGGUAGCAGACAAGAAGAAACCAACAAAGAAUUAAAGCAGAAAGGGGACAAAAAGGAGAGAACCAACAGUAGCAAAAAACCAAAGAAACAGAAGCUGAAAGGGGAGCACCUGAAGUAAAAAAGAAAAGGAAACCAUGAAAAAGGCAGAAGGAAAGGAGGAAUUUUGCGAAAGAGAAGGUUAAAGGCCGACACUUUGGUGAAGGGCUUGAAAAAGAUAAUUCGUUUCGGUAUUUUCGUGGUUGUUUCUGCAUGCAAAUACUAUCAUAUUUGUAAGAACAGCUUAAGGUACAAAACAACUCUUAUUCGUUCGAUAUGAUGUUUGAAAUUUGUGCUUUUUCCUGUAUGGUGUGUGCAAGUCAUUUAGCCUUUGUUCCAUAUGAUGUUUGAAACUUGUGCUUUUUCCUAUACGGUUUGUGCAUGUCAUUUGGCCUUUUCUUGAUCCUGUCUUGGCUUGUUCAUGGGAGCUUAAAAGCUUCACUGCCUUUGGCUAAUGAUUGCUCUAAUCGCCUGUAAAUUGUGGCGGAGGCUUGGAGCUUCACUUAUUUACUUUAUUUUAUUCUGUUUUGCUAGUCCUUAUGGCGUGAUAUUUGGUCUUGGAGCUUCACUUUUUAUUUUAUUUUAUUUUAUUUUGCUAGUCCUUAUGGCAUGAGAUGUGGUUGUAGACGCCCAAAGUUACAACUUUUUCAUGGUUUCUGAUUUCUUCUGUCAGCAUAUAGUCUUUAUACAAGAUCAUAAAGCUUUAACAUCUUUGUGCAUGCUGUUUGUUCUGUUUAAACUCAAAGGUUUGGGUUUUUCAUGCUUGCAGGGUCGGAUGCAUGUUAAGCUAUUGUUUAUGCUUCAAAUCUCAUACGGUUUUCUAUAAUUUGAUUUUUUUUUCUUUCUCUAUGUAUGAGUUGAUUAAAUAUUAAAAAAACUUUUUUGAAAAUAAUAACAAUAAUAAUAAUGAUGAUGAUGAUGAUGAUGAUGAUGAUAAUAAUGUUUAUUAAAUAAUAAUAAUAAUAAUAGUAAUAAUAAUAAUAAUAAUAAUAAUAAUAAUAAUAAUAAUAAUAAUAAUAAUAAUAAUAAAAGUAAUUGUUUUAAAUCUCUCCUUAAAUGUUGGAGGAAAUUUUUAAAUCAAAUGUUUAAAAAAAUAAUAAUAAUAAUUCUUCCUAGAUGUUUGGGAAUUAUUAAAUAAUAAAAAUAUAUUAACAAAAUAAUAAUAUAAUAAAUUUUAAUGGAAAGGAAUAUACAAAACAUAAAAAUUAAUUUUUAGAAAUUAUUAAAAAUGAGCUUGUCCCCAAAAAUAUAACAAUUUGUUUUUUAGAAAUUAUUAAAAACAAGCUUAUUUUGAACACAUAUAUAUAAGAAUUAAUUUUUGGAAAUCGUAAAAAAUAUGCUUACUCUAAAACUCUGCCUAAAUAUUGAAGAUUUUUAAAGAAGUUCUCAAACUUGAAAAACCCUAAUUGAAACUAAAAUUAAAACCUUAACUGAAACCCUAAAAUUAAAACCUUAAAUUGAAACCCUAAAAUCAAAACCUUAAGAGAAAUCUGAAACCUUAAAUAGGCCUUAGUCAAAAUCUUAAAUUAAACUUUGCAAUGCCAAACCUAUCUAAAACCUCAAACUUGUUUUAAAUUUUAAUGAUUUAUAUGAAAACUUUUUAUGAAAUAAUUUGUUCUCGAGUGCUGCCUAAAUGAUGAAGUAUUUAUAAAAUUUUAUUUUAUUAAGAAUUUUCAUAUAUUUUCAUAACUUAAAAUAAAUUCAUUUUGUAAAAAUAAAAAAUAUAAAAAUAUAAAAUAAUAAACAUAAUAGGACUAGAUUUUAAAUAUAAAAUUUUACAUCCAAACUCUACUUAGAUAUUAGAGAGUUCAGGUGAUCAUUUUAUAUUUCAAAACCUGAUUUCUAAAUUCACAUUUUAUCUUCAUUUGCAUACAUCUCAUUUUUUUAGAUUAAUUUGUACAUUUAUAAUACGCACAUAUGUUUAUUCUAUUAAUUAAUGUUAAUAUUAAUUAUAUCAUUUUCAUUUUUUUACUGCAUAAAAAGUUUAUUAACAAAAGUUUUAAAAAAAUAAAAUUAAAAUAGCAUUCCAUGAAAUGUAAGUGUUGGUACUUUGCCUAGAUAUUAGAGAGUUACCAAUAAUUAUCAUUUAUAAAGAAUGUUAUUUUAUUAAUUUUAAAAGGAAUGUUGUGAUAAAUUUUCAAUGAAAAAAUUAUCUUUGAAUUCUACCUUUAUGUUGGAAAAUUCAAAAAUAUUUUUAUCCUAAACUAUAAAUAGCGCAUGAUUAUUGGUAUCAAUUUUAUAGGUGUUGUGAAAGUACUAAUCCUUUCUCAUGUGUAACCGACUCUCAAACCUGAUCUUAUUUUCGUAGACCAAAACUAUUUUUUUAAUAUAGCUUUAAAUCCGUUUUAAAUGUUUUAUUAAAAAGAUAAAAUUUUGGGGUGGCCAAUCAUACCCUAACAAAGAUUGAUGAUGACUUCUCGUAUUUUUUCAUGAUCUUAAAUUUUUAUGUCUAGCAAUCAAGUCUGCAAACAGAUACAUUAUGAUAGCUUGGUGACUCCACUGGAGACAAUUAGAGAGUUAAGCCAAAAAUAUUAAUUAUGUAUUAUUAAAAUUUGUUGGGUUUAAUGGGUUUUUGAUAUUUAACUUAAUUCCCUUUAUUCUAAUUUAUCAAAAAAAAUAUAAGCUAAUAAAUAAAAUAAAUUGCAUGUUAGUUAUUAUUUUGUUUUGAUUUUGCUUUAUGAUUUAUUAUUGUUAUUUUGAUUAAUAUGUCACUCUGCACACUUUUGCAUAUGCACUUACAUGCAUAAACUCCAGACUCAAACUCUGUCCUUAUUAAGAGGAAAUGAAGUAGCUAGGCUCUUGUGAGAUGAUAACCUCCAUAUUUGCUAAUAAAACAUUUCUACCCAAAUCAAACCUUUUCCGUUUGUAACAUGUAAUGGGUGAGUAUUGGUGUGCUUUAUUAAUAUAUAAUGGAUGAUGAUGUAAGGUUGAUUUGGGAAUUUAGACAAGUAAAUCCUAACUCGGCAUAUUGUAAGCCAUGGUAAGCCUGCUUAGGGUAGAGCCAUGUCACAUUUUUUAGAAAAUUAUCAAAGGUUAGGACACUGUAUAUAUUUUGUUAUUUUUGUUGUAUGAUACAAUUGUUUUCUUGUUGUUAUUAUCUGUUUGUUUUGAUCAUUGAUUACUUUUAUUUGUACAACAUUUAAUUUUGUUGCUUACAUCAUAUAGAUACUACAUUUUAAGAAAUGUAUUUGUUUUGGGUUAAUCAACAAUAAAGGAAGCAGCAUGAAGCCACCAAUAGCAUUAGCCUCUAGCAAGAAUUAUUUGGAAGUUAAAAGCCAAUCAAAAAGCAUCUAAUGGAAAGAAAAAAACUACUUAAGUGUGGUUAUGUUUCUUCAUUUCCACUGUUGGUGCACGUGGAUUUGAAUAAGAAUGACAUAACAGAGUUAGAAACCAUAUGGAAAUAAUGGGGAGUAGAAAAAAAAAGAAUUUUUUUUUUGAAGAAAUUUGGGGAUAUGGCACUACUCCUAUCAGUGAAGAUUGAUGAGGCACUAUUUAGGGCUACGAUACAGUUUUGUGAUCCAUCUUAUCGACAUUUCAUGUUCAACCAACAAGACUUAACCCCCAUAGUAUAAAAAUAUGCCUUUUUACUCCAUAUAGAGUCUACUGGUCAAGACAAGAUCUAUUGCAAUGAGCAAAAGACCAUUGGAUAUAGAAAAAAAUUUGCCAAAAUUAUGCAAAUAGGGGUCAAGGAGAUAGACAAGCACAAAAAGGAAAAUAAUGGGGUUGAGAUAAUUCCAUCAGCAUUUCUAUUAGAGCAUAUGGAAAAGCAUCUUGCUAUUGAUCGGAGAUUGGAUUUAUUUACUUUGGCUGUGUAUGGCUUGAUGAUAUUCCCUAAGGUCUUAGGACAUAUAGAGGCAUCAGUGGUUGAUUUCUUUGAGUAGUUAGAUAAAGGUAUAAAUCCUUCACGGGCCAUUUUACCGAAACCAUUAAAUUGCUUAAUUUCUGUCAAAAAAAUGGUUAGGGGUGAUUCAUAGGAAGUGCUCAGUUGCUUUUUGUUUGGCUUAGAAGUCACUUUUGAGGAAAAGAGAAGAUUUCAUUUUAGCCUUUCUCCAUUCAUUUCAUUCCCAUCAAGGAGUUUGUCACCAAGGAAUGGCAAAGGGAUUAGAUAAAAUAUCAAUCGAUGUCAUUCUUUUUAAAGCUUACUGGUGAGGAUGUAACAUAGAGGGUGCUUGAUGCUUCCUAUAGACAUUUUGUACAGUUAUGGAGAUGAGUCAUAGUUAUCAUUACUAGGGUUAUGAGGGGUAGUGAGUUAUACAUCUCUCAUGGUUUAGAGGUAAUAUGAUUCUCAUCAGUUCAUACCUAUGACUCAUGGACUUAGUUCACUUGAGUUUAACUAUAAAGCACUUGGUUAUAUGAAAAAAGUCUGAGAGGUCAUCAAAGCAUGGAAGCUAAUUAAUUAGAUAAACCCAAUUAGAUAUACAGAUAAUGUUGUAGAAGGGUACCUUGCAUGGAGAAUGAAAAAAAUUAAUAAAGUUAGGCCUCUACCAGUAGAUGUUUUAGAUCAGUUGUUCACUUUUACUUUAGAGCCAAUAUUGUCAGUUCUUGAGAUUGCUUAGCAAAAGUUUAAGAUGGAAACAAAAAAAAAAGAUGGAGAAAGAGAAUAUGACAAUAAUAGAUCAAGUCAACUAGUUGAGGUAUGAUUUGAUGAUGAAAAUUGAUGUAUUAUAGAAGUUGACCUAGAAGUGAAAAGUUUUGAAAGAAGAUUUACAAGAUCUUCACCAAGAGAAUAAGAGAUUGAAGAUAGACAUUAGACCUUUAAGGGGAUCUAAAAAGGAUAUGGAAGAAUUAAGAAAGAUGGUAGAGUAUUGGAACAGUAGAGCUCAAAAAAAUAAGGAAGUGAUCUUUGCACUUACCGAAGAAUAAGCAUGAAAAGAUAAAGUUUCUAAAGUCUCUACAAAGGUAGCUAAGUGCUAAGAAGAAAAUAAAAGGCUAAGGGCUGGAUGGAAAAGAGAACAAAAUAGGAGUUCUGGUUUGCAAAAGGAGAAAAAAGCUUUGGAACAAGAGCUGAUGAGCUUGAAAAUUCAAUUGGUCAACAAUCAGAAUCACAUAGAUAAGAUUUUGAUUGAAUGGCAAGAGAGAGAGGAUUAUUAGGCUCAUACCUACAACAUGAAAAUGGAAGCUCAGGAAAUGUGGAAAACAGAAAGCCUAGGAAGGCAAUAGUAUAUAAAGCACUUAACUUCUCAAAUCUAUAAGUUUGUGCAAAAAGCAAACGAAAUAGUGGAAAGAGCUGAAGAACUUAAGCUAGAAGUCAUACUAACUCAGCAUUGUAGUCAGCAAUUCUUGAGUUUCUUAUAUGAAGCUAAGGAGCAGUACGCUCAAGUUAGGUGUUUUUAUGGUUAUAAUGCACGGAUGAUUGUUUGAUGUACAAAUAUUUCUAUGGUUAAUGAAUGUUUCUUUUUACUUAGAUUGAUCCAAAACAAUACUUCUUUUGCAUUACAUUAAAUUUAUUGCAUACAUGUAAAUUAAUAAAAGCAAAUUAUUAAUAAUACUAAUAAUAUCAAUAAUAAUGAUUAUACCAUGUGUUCUAAUUCAUGAGCAAUAAUUAGAAGUUCAAGGAUAGCGAAACCAAUGAAAUUAGCUCAAACAAUCUCACACAAGUAUAAUACAUGCUUUAAUUCUUGAAUUAUGAAAAAAAAUUCAGCUAAGAUUGAAAGAGUCGAGAUGGUACAUGAGGAGAUAAGGGAGAGAGUGAUGGAAAUGCAGUAGAAUAUCGAGGCACAAAUGUCCGAGUUAAGACAAUUAUUACUUAGCUUCCUAAAAGGUAAAAAAGUUGCUAGUACAUAAGGGAAGUGGGAUUAAUAUAGAGGAAUUAGCAUAUUCUUCAAGAUUCACUCUAUCUCGAGUUCAUACUUCUCGAGGAAUCCAUUCGUAGCCACCAACCACACGACCAUUCACUUUUGCUAGACCUUUUGUUAGUCAACCCCAACCUUUCACUUUUGUUGGACCAUCUGCUAGUAAACCCCAAGUACAUGUGAAUGUCAAUCUAGGAUCGAUUCCUGUCAAUGUUAUCAUGGUACCAAAUUUGGAUGAUCAUAUUGAAUAAGACAAGCUACUUAGCACAUCUACGCCAGUGGUGAGUGUUGAGAUGAAAAAUAAGUAUGAACUGCUAGAAGAAAGACUAAGAGUCAUGGAAAAGAAUGACAUCUUUAAGAACAUAGAUGCAAAUGAGCUUAGUUUAGUGCCUGAUUUGGUCAUACUGGAAAAAUUCAAGGUUUUUAAUUUUGAAAAGUUUGAUGGAACUACAUGUUUUUUUGCUUAUAUUACGAUGUUUUAUCAUAAAAUGGUAGGUCAUACUCAUAAUGACAAGCUUUUGAUACAUUAUUUUCAAGAUAAUUUAACUAAAUCAAUAGCAAGAUGAUAUGUUAAGUUAGAUCAAAGCAAGAUCCAUACAUGGAAAGACUUAGCUAAAGCUUCUUUAGCCCAAUAUAAGCAUGUCAUUAACAUUGAUUCAGACAAGCUAUAUCUAUAAAAUAUAGAAAAAAAAGUCAACAAAAACCUUUAGUGAGUAUAUGCAUCGUUAGAGAGAUGCAGUGGCUCAAGUCCAACCAUCACUAACUAAGAAAAAAGUUUCAGUGUUGUUUAUUAGCACAUUGAAGCCUUGUGUUAUGAUAAGCUGGUGGAAAAUGCUAUAAAAAAAAUUUUUUAACAUGGUAAUUUCAAGAGAAAUGAUUAAGAAUGCCAUUAAAACUAGCAAGAUUGAAAGACCUCAAGCUUUUGAUACCAAGAAGUCAGCCAACCCAACCAAGAAAAAGUAAGAGAUAUAUGCUAUGUCUAUAGGGAAUCCCUCAUUUUUACUAUUUAUCCCAUAUAAUCCAAGACCGUAAUUCGCCACCUAUUAUCGAACCACUAAUCAAGCUAUCCAACUACCAUACCACUAUCAACCAUCCUAACAACCACCAUAUAGACCAGAAUUCAAUCCACAAUCAUCAAGUUUCACUUUGAUAAUGUCAACUCAAUCAACCAGUUCAAGCUAAAAAAACCCACGAAACAACAACAAUCAAGAGAAACCUCAAUUUGAUCCUAUCCUUAUGUCAUACACCAGUUUGUAUCUAUAGUUGAUGAGAGGUUACCUUAUUGCUCCUAAAAGUAUAGUGCCAUUGAAGCCAUCAUACCUAAAAUGGUAUGACCCCAAUGCCAAGUGUGAUUAUUAUUAUGGUGUAGCAGGUCAUUAUGCUGAAAAUUGUACGACUUCGAAAUAUAAGGUGCAAGAGCUAAUAGAUCAAAGUUUGUUAAAUUUUAACUCUAAAUUUAAGCCUAAUAUUAAUGGAAACCUUUUUCCCAAUCAUUCUAGUGGCAAUACUAAUAUAGUGUCAGAUGGAAAAAGGUUAAAAGUGAAACAAUGGGUCAGCCAAGUGAAGUCUCCAAUGAAGAAAGUUUUUAACUAUUUGGCUAAGAAUGGGCAUGUGAUCUAAAACUGCCAAGGAUUUUGGAUGGUGUUGUAAUAGUUAAUGGAUAAAGAGGUGAUUAAAUUCUAUGUUAAAGAUGAUGAUAGCAACGUGAAUAUGAUAGGUGAUAGGUCGAAAAUGCCUUUCAUUCCAAAACGUCUCAUUAUAUUUUAUGAAAAUAAAACAAAACCAGCUAUAGAAAAGCUAGUGCAUUUCCCUAGAGCACUAUUGAAAAUUUAUAUUCUUUGUCUUUUUUCCUACAAAAGUGAUAAGUUAGUCCCAUGAGACUAUAAUUGUAAAGUGGAAAUUCAAGGGCCUGCUGAUAAAGUAGCUUUAGAGAAAAAAGAAAGUGAGCACAUCACAAAUAUAAUAGGAGUAGGAGGAAUGACUAGAAGUAGUUAUUAUUACACUCUUGAAAUGCUUGAAAAAGUUAAGAAAAGAAAGGAAAGGCAAAGGAAGAAGAAGAGGUCAUAAUGGAAAGAGAUUCAGGUCAUAUUAUAACAAGUCCAGAGUUCAGUACAAGAAGCUUGUGUCUAAAAAAAAAACUUGUGAGUUUCUCAAGGUUAUCAAACACAGUGAGUACAAUGCAGUAGACCAAUUGAAUAAGUUGCUAGCUUGUAUUUCAUUGUUGUCUCUACUACUAAACUCAGAACCAUACAGGAAUGCUUUGUUAAAAGUUUUUAAUCAGGUUUAUGUUGAGCAUAAUAUUUUUGUAGAGAAUGUGGAUCACAUGGUAGAGAAUAUUAUAGCCUUAAAUUUUAUUUCUUUUAAUGAUAAUGAGAUACCUCCUAAAUGACAAGGUAGUGUAAAAGCUUUACACAUUACGGUUAAGUGUAAAAUUCAUAUGAUGGCCUAAGUGCUUAUUAAUAAUGGGUCAUCCAUUAAUGUAAUGUCUAUGACCAUGCUUUCAAAGUUGCCAGUGGAUCAGUCACCUAUGAGAAAUAGCCAUAUGAAAGUUAGGGGUUUUGACAAGGCAUGGAGGGAAGUAAUUGGUGAUAUUGAAAUUUCAUUGUAGAUUAGUUUGUAUACCUUUAAUGUUCAGUUCCAGGUUAUGGACAUUACACCGUCAUAAAGUUGUUUACUUAAAAUACCUUAGAUUCAUACAACAAAAGUCAUACUUUCAUCCUUACAUUAGAAAAUGAAGUUCAUUGUCAAAGGAAAACAAGUUUGCUUGGAUGGCAAAUAAGACCUACUAGUAACCAAAACCCUAACUACUCCUUAUAUUAAGACUAUCGAAGAGGCACCCGAGUACUUAUUUAAAGCCUUUAAAAUAGUAAGUGCUACGUAUGUUAGAGAAGGGACAAAGAUACUUAUGCCUUAGUUGUCAAAAACCACAAACAUGGUAAUUAAGUAGACCAUCAGCAAAGGCAAGUGAGUUGGACAGAGUUUGGGAGCAUCUUUGCAAGGAAUCAAGAAAACAUUGUCAUAAUUGAAAACAAGUAGUGGUGGAGUUUAGGUUUCAAGCCUACUGCUACAGAUAAAAGAAGGGUGAUGAUGGAAAAGAGAGAGAAGAGAAUGGCACGUCAAAAGGGGUAUGAUUUAGAGAAUAGGGGAAUGGUAUUCCUUUACUUGUAUGAGAUAUUUUGUUCUGGCGAGUACGUCUUUUCUAGAUAAAUAGAAGUGAAAAAAGGGGAAUCAAUUCCUAAAAUAGAGGAGGCUGUCUCUCAUAUUCAAAAUAAAAAAGAUAUGACGUAGAUACAAAAAGAAAAGACAAUCUUUUUUCCUUUUCUAGAAUUAACAGUUUCAAAAUGGUGUUUUGUUGUUGUUGUCUUUUGAACAUCUCAAACCUUAAGUUCCAAUUACUUUUGCCUAAAAACAUGCAGAGUAUACAUGUAUAAGCUUGUUUUUAAUUAUCUCAGCCUAAGUAAUGGCACAAUGCAUUUGUCAUACAUCAUUUUCCCAUUUUUCUUUUCUUGGUUACUUAUAUUCUUUUUACUUUUGCUCGAUUUGCUUGUAUUUCCUUGUGAUUAUACCUAUUUUUAGGUCUUUAAAUAAUGAGCAUUAUGGAUAAACAAGACAAUAAUGCCAUAUUUGAUUUUGAAAAUUCAAUUGACAUUAGUGAGCUUAACAAUAAUGUUGAUUUUAAAAAGUAUAAGUUACCACAUAAAUUGUUAAAGUAGAUGGAACAAGAAAAAAAAAACCCAUAGAGCUUCAUUAGGAAAGUAUAGAUCUAUUGAAUUUGGGAGAUAAAGAGAAUAAAAAGGAAAUCAAAAUUCAUUCUUCACUACUAUUGAUGGAAAAAUAGAAGUUAUUGGGCUUGUUAAAGGAGUAUGUAAACAUAUUUGCAUGGUCCUAUCAAGAUAUACCUGGACUUAGUACAGAUAUUGUGGAAUAUAUAUUACCUCUAAAGCCAAACUACCGACCAGUACAAUAGAAGUUGAGGCAUAUGAAGCUAGAGACGUUGUUGAAAAUAAAAGAAGAAGUGAAAAAGUAGUUGGAUGCGAGUUUUUUGAAAGUAGCUAAAUACCCAAAAUGGGUAGCCAAUAUAGUCUCAAUUUUAAGAAAGAUGAAAAAUGAGAAUGUGUGUGGAUUAUCAGGAUUUAAAUAAGGCUAGUCCAAAAAAUAACUUCCCAUUACCACAUAUUGACACCCUUAUGGAUAAUACUACUCGACUUUUACCUUUCUAUUCAUGGAUGGGUUUUUUGGAUAUAACUAAAUUAAAAUGGCUCAUGAAGAUAUGGAGAAAACCACAUUUAUGAUGAUGUGGGGCACAUUUUGCUACAAAGUCAUGCCUUUUGGGCUUAAGAAUGCCAGUGCUACAUAUCAAAGAGCGAUGGUCACUCUUUUCCAUGAUACGAUACACAAAGAGAUAGAGGUAUACAUAGAUGAUAUGAUAGCAAAGUCUAGGAAAAAAAAAGAUCAUGUAGCUAACCUCAAAAAGCUCUUUGAAAGGUUUUGAAAGUACCAGCUCAAGCUGAAUCCAGCCAAAUAUAAAUUCAAUGCUAAAUUAAGGAAAUUGCUAGAAUUUGUAGUCAAUGAAAGAGGUAUUAAAGUAGACCCUAAUAACAUUCAAGCUAUUCAAAAUUUAACAGCUCCAUACGUACAAAAAAGUUGAUAAGCUUUUUGGGGCGAUUAAAUUAUAUUUCUCGUAUUAUAUCUCAACUUAUUUCAAAGUGUGAUCCAAUCUUUAAGUUGCUACAUAAGAAUAAACAUGGCAGUUGGGAUGAAGAAUAUCAAAGUGCUUUUGAAAAGAUUAAGGAGUAUUUAACAAACUCAUCGGUGUUACUGCUACCCAUUACAGGAAGGCCAUUAAUUUUGUAUUUAACAGUGCAAGAGAAUUCAAUAGGGUGUGUAUUAGUGCAAAAAGAUGAAACUAGCAAGAAAGAAUAUGCUAUUUAUUAGUUGAGCAAAAAGUUUAUAGAGUAUGAAACUAAAUACUUCUAGUUAGAAAAAUUGUGUUCCAUAUUGGUAUAGACUACCCGUAAGCUUAGGCAGUAUAUACUUUAUCAUACAACCUGGAUUAUAUCAAAGUUAGCUCCUCUUAGAUAAAUAUUUGAGUCAUCCCUUUCGGGCAGAAUAACUAGAUGGCAAGUCAUACUUUCGGAGUAAGACAUUGUGAAUGUGUCACAAAAGUCUGUAAAAAGAAGUGCGAUAGUUGAUUUUCUUAUCGAUAAGGCCACAUAAAUUAUGAGCCCAUAAAGUUUGACUUCUUAGAUGAAGAUUUAAUGGCAAUCUUCGAGGAUGAAAAGGGAGAUCCUAUGAAGAAGUUAUGGAAGAUGUUUUUCGAUAGGAUAUCUAAUAUAAUGGGGCAUGACAUUAAGGUACUAUUAAUAUCCUCAUAAGGGAAUAUUAUCCUAGCACUGUAAGGCUAGAUUUUAAUUUCUCAAAUAAUGUAGCUGAAUAUGAAGCAUGUGCUAUGGGAUUACAAAUAGCCAUUGAAAAAAGGAUUGAUGUAUUGGAAGUAUAUAGGGACUCAACCUUGGUGAUCUACCAAUUGAAAGGUGAAUAAGAAACUAAGGACCCGAAAUUGGUGUUAUACCAAAAGCAUAUAGCUAAUUUGAUUAAGCAAUUUAGAGAGAUCUAGUUUCAAUAUAUGCCUCGAAAAAAGAAUCAGAUUGCUAAUGCAUUAGCUAUGUUGACUAUAAUGUUCAAGUUAAAUGCCAAUAUGGGAACCCAACCCAUUAGAGUACAAAUUUGAGAUUAACUGGCCCAUUAUUCAAAUAUGAAGGAAAAAAUAGAUUAUCGACCCUAGUAUCAUGACAAUUUAUAGUACAUUAAAUGUUAAGAAUAUCCUAAGUAGGCUUCAAAUAAUGAUAAGAGGAUAUUCAAAGAUUAUCAGUAGAGUUUGUGCUCCAUGGGAAAAUUUUAUACAAGAAAGGUCAAAUCAAAUAUUGUUGAGAUGUGUAGAUGCUAUGAAAGCAAGAAAGAUACUAGAAGAAGUCUAUGAGUGAAUUUGUAGGACACAUGCCAAUGCACAUAUAAUGGCCAAACAAAUAAUGAAGCUAGGUUAUUACUAGUUUACAUUGGAAAAUGAUUGCAUCAGUUAUGCCAGAAAGUACCACAAGUGCUAGAUUUACAUAGACAAGUUCAUUCCCCUCUAGUCCCUUUGCAUGUGUUAGCACCUCCAUGGUCAUUUUUUAUGAUGAAAAUGGAUGUAAAUGAGCCUAUAACUUCAAAAGCUUCAAAUAGACAUUGAUUCAUCUUCGUAGUAACUGAUUACUUCACCAAAUAGGUGGAAAUAGCCUUUUAUACUAGUGUGUUCCGGUCUAUGGUAUGCAAGUUUAUAAAAAGAGAGACAAUAUACCAUUAUAGGCUCCCAGAAAGAAUUAUUUUUGACAAUACUAGCAACUUGAAUAGCAAAUGAUGAAAGAGAUAUAUGCACAGUUCAAAAUAAUGCAUCACUAUUUAGCAUCGUAUUGCUCAAAGAUGAAUGGUGCGAUAAAGUUUGCAAACAAAAACAUAACAAGAUAUUAGGAAAGAUGACUGACACAUAUAAGGAUUAGUAGGAGAAAUUAUCCUUUACCUUGCUUACCUACAGGACAUUAGUUUGAACUUCAAUAAGGGCCACAUCAUUUUCCUUAGUAUACGGAAUGGAAGAAGUGUUACCGAUUGAUGUGAAAACUUCUUUUCUAAAAGUAAUGAUGGAAAUAAAGUUGGAUGAAGCAGAUUGGAUUCAAGAAUAUUUAGAACAAUUAAACCUCAUAGAAGAGAAAAAGCUUUCGAUACUCUGUCAUAAGCAUAUAUACCAAAAGAAGAUGAUCCAGGGGCAUGACAAAAAGUUAUGACCUCAAUGUUUCAUGAAGAAGAAAUGGUCCUAAAGAAGAAAUGGUCCUAAAGAAGAUUUUGCCAAAUCAACAAGAUAUUAAAAGAAAGUAAGCACCAAAUUGGGAACGCCCCUGUGUAGUGAAGAAAGCAUUUUUAGGAUAAGCCCUAAUCUUAAUAGAAAUAGAUGGGGAUGAAUUGCCAUCUCAGUGAAUUCUAAUGCUAUAAAGAAAUAUUUUGCUUAAAAAAAACCUAAAAAAAAAGCAUUAUAAAAAACUAAAAAAAAAGCAUUAUAAAAAAAAAAGAAAAAAGAAAAAGAUUCAAGCUAAAAACCAAAAAGAGGUAGUUUAAACUAAAAGAAGGUCGUUUAGGUUGAAAAUCUAAUUAGACAGCUUAAACGAAGGAGGAGUUAAUGGGAAAUCUUAUAAAGGCAAAGCGAAAUGGUACAAAGUUAGACUGAUUAGAUAAGAAGAAAAAUCUAGGGCAAGUUUUUGUUAGCUACGAGUCAUAAGGCAAGGAUUAAUUAUAAGAGUUCAAAUUUAGCAAGAUCACUUAUGUAAUGAGUUUCUAAGAAAAGAUCUAGUUUGAAUUGACUUGGCUUGUCGAAUGUUCAUUAGCUAAAGAAAUGAUAUUUGAAUUCCUUAAAUACCCUUUUAAGUUUUUCGGUGUAUUUCAAUAGCCUUAUCUUUUCCUUUCCAAACCAAAAUAAAUUUCUCGUUAGAUCCAUAUUCCACUUUUGAACUUUGAAAUCAUUACAUUUGUCACAAGAGGUUAGGAUAAUUAUUGAUAAUGCUCAUAGCAAACUUGCGUGUUACUUAAAAAAAGAUGAAUGGAAGACAAUAGCGCAAAAAGGAAAGGAUUAAUUGAUUGGAAGGAUGGAUGACCAAAGAAAGAAUUUGGAAAAAAUUCAUAGAUAAGUAGAAGUCAUAGAAGGCAUUUAUAAAAAUUCAAUACAUCAAAAAAGAAGAAAAGGAAAUAAGAUGGAAAUUUUGGGAUAGCCUUUAAAGUUUUGAAAGAGCUGAGCUUGUCUUACACUUAGAAUUAAUAAGAUCAAGAAACAUAUGGCAUAAAUUAUUGAUUGCAUUUUUACAUUCAUAUUGUCUCAUUCGUCUUUUAUUUCUGACUUGCGAUGUUAUCUCGGUCGAUCGUUAUUUCUACCUUGUGGUGUUCUUCUGGUCAUUCGUUAUUUCAGACUUACAAUGUUAUCUUAAUCAUCCUUUAUUGUAGUCAUUAUUUAUUUUUGACUUAUGGUGUUGUCCUAAUCAUCCUUUAUUUCUAACUUGUGAUGUUGUUCCAGUCAUUCAUUAUUUCUAACUUGUGAUAUUGUCUCAGACAUUCCCUAUUUUUUACUUGUGAUGUUGUCCUAGUCAUUCAUUAUUUUUGACUUGUGGUGUUAUCUUGGUCAUCCUUUAUUUUAAACUUGUGGUGUUGUCUCGAUCAUCCUUUAGUUUUGGCUUUUGGUAUUGUCUCAAUCAUUCAUUAUUUUCUAACUUGCGAUGUUGUCCCGGUAGUUUGUUACCUUUGACUUGCAAUGUUGUUUCAAUUAUCCUUUAUUAUUUGAUUCACGGUGUUGUCCCAGCCAUUCGUUAUUUUUUACUUGCAAUGUUAUCCCUGUCAUUCAUUAUUUCUAACUUGUGGUGUUGUCCCGAUCGUCUUUUAUUUUUUGAUUUGUGAUGUUGUCUUGGCCAUUCUUUAUUUUUUUAUUUGCAAUAUUGUCUUCGUCGUUCUUUAUUUUUAACAAAAACAAACAAACAAACAAACACAAACAAACAAAAAAGGGGUUUUUGAAGGUAAUAUCCGAACAAAAUUAUUAUCUAUGUUUUGGCAUUAUUCCUGAUUCUAAAAAAUAUACAAAUAGGGGUAGCUUAGACACUUAAUUUUGUUCCGGUACUUUUCCUUUUGAUCCAGGCUUACUUUUGUAAUUGGGCUUGAUCUUCAUUUUUCAAGCCCGGUAUACGACCCAUUUUCAAAAUACUCCAUAUAAAACCCAAAAUGAUCUGAUAAAGGCCCAUUCAUAAAAAGCCCGUCAAUGGUCAUAAUAAUAAUAAUAAUAAUAAUAAAUUAAAAAAUUAAAAAAAAUAAAAAAUUGAAAUUAUAAAUUAUAAAUUAUACAUUAUAAAAUAAUUAAUAACUAAUAAUAUAAAAAAUUAAAAAUUAAAAUAUAAUAAAAUAAUAAUAAUAAUGCAUAAUAAUACAUAAUAAAUAAUAAAAAAUAUAUAAAAGUGGACCAUAAAAUAAAACUCAAAGCCCACGAGUGGAAGGUUGUUUUCAAAGCCCAAGAUAUGUAAAAGGGAAUGGCUUGUUCGGUCGAGCCUGUUGAAUGCAAAUCAUGUAAAAAACGUGGCUGGAAUCCACAUGCAAAAACAUGCAAAAAUGCCAUGGAACGUGAAAAGGAGGCUAAAUAAAUAAAACUGAAAAGAUGGUGGUCAGGAAACCUGGGGAAGUGAGAACGUGAAGAAAAAACGAGAAGUGAAUUAAAAGGAAAGCAUGUAGAAAGGGUACUGGCUGGGAGGGUAAAGCAAAAGGAAAAUAUAGAGGGAAAGGGGGAGAAAUGAAAACAACUGGCGGUUUAGAAAAAGGAGAUUGGAAACCACGAAACACAAACGGUGCAGCAAAAAUUAAAAAAAAAAAAAGACAAAAAACGAGCAGAAGAAAGCAACCAAAAAAGGCUGAACAGAAGAGAAAUAAAGCAGGAAAGCUGACGGCAGUUGACGAGAGGCAGUGGCAUCCAAAACUGGGCCUGUGGCGUGGAAGCAAAGAAGGCAGCAGUAACAAGCAAAACGGAAACCAGAAAGCAGAAUAGAAAAAACUGGGCAGCAAGGCAGCACCGGUAGCAAUCAGUGGUAGGAGGAAAAGACAAAAGAAGAGAGGAGCAGGAAAAAUAAAAAAAAAAACAAGCGUGGGUAGCAGAAAAGAAGAAACCAACAAAGAACUAAAGCAGAAAAGAGACAAAUUGUGGCGGAGGCUUGGAGCUUCAUUUUUUUACUUUAUGUUAUUUUAUUUUUCUAGUUCUUAUGGCGUGAUAUUUGGUCUUGGAGCUUCACUUUUUAGUUUAUUUUAUUUUAUUUUGCUAGUCAUUAUAGCAUGAGAUUUGGUUGCAGAGGCCCAAAGUUACAACAUUUUCAUGGUUUCUGAUUUCUUCCGUCUGCAUGUAGUCUUUAUACAAGACCAUAAAGCUUUAACAUCUUUGUGCAUACUGUUAGUUCUGUUUAAACUCAAAGCUUUGGGUUUUUCAUGCUUGCUGGGUCGGAUGCAUGUUAAGCUGUUGUUUAUGCUUCAAAUCUCAUCCACUUUUCUGUAAUUUGCGGUUUUCUUUUCCUUUCUCUAUGUAUGAGUUGAUUAAAUAUUGAAAAAAGGUUUUUUAAAAUAAUAAUAAUAAUAAUAAUUUUUUAAAAUAAAAUAAUAUAUAAUAAAAGUAAUUGCUUUGAAUCCCUACCUAGGUGUUAGGUGUUGGAGGAAAUUUUUAAAUUAAGUUUUUAAAAAAUAAUAACAAUAAUAAUUCUACUUAGGAGUUAGAGAAUUAUUAAAUAAAAUAAGAAUGUAAUAACAAAAGAUUAAUAAAUAAUAAUAUAAUAAAUUUUAAUGGAAAGGAAUAUACAAAACAUAAAAAUUAAUUUUUAGAAAUUAUUAAAAAUGUGCCUCUUCCAAAAAAAUAUAACAAUUAGUUUUUUAGAAAUUAUUAAAAACAAGCUUCUUCCGAAUAUAUAUAUAUAUAUAAGAAUUAAUUUUUGAAAAUCGUAAAAAACAAAUUUACUUUAAAAGUCUGCUUAGAUAUUGAAGAUUUUUAUAAAAGUUCUCAAAUUUUUAAAAUCCUAAAUUGAAACUAAAAUUAAAACCCUAAACUUAAAACUUUAAAUUGAAACCAUAAAAUUAAAACCCUAAAAGAAACCUGAAACUUUAUGACCCUAAACCUAUCUAAAAUGUCAAACUUCUUUUAAAUUUUUAAAAAUUUGUAUGAAAACCUUUAUGAAAUAAUCUGUUCUUGAGUACCACCUAAAUGAUGAGAUAUUUAGGAAAUUGGGAUUUUUCUAAGAAUUUUUGUACAUUUUGGCAACUUAAAAUAAAUUCGUUUUGUAACAAUAAUAAAUAUAAAAUAUAAAAUAAUAAAAAUAAUAAGACGAGAUUUUAAGUAUAAAAAGUUACACCCAAAUUUUGCCUAGAUGUUGCAGAGUUCAGGUGAUUUUUUUAUAUUUGACAACUCGAUUUCUAAAUUCACAUUUUAUCCUCAUUUGCAUACAUCUCAUUUUUUUUUUAGAUUAAUGUGUACAUUCAUACUACAUAUACAUGUUUAUUCUAUUCAUUAAUAUGAAAAUUAUAUCAUUUUCAUUUUUUUACUACAUAAAAAGUUUAUUAAAAAAAGUUUUAAACAAAUAAAAUUAAAAUAGCAUUCCAUGAAAUAUAAGUGUUGGUACUUUACCUAAAUGUUGGAGAAUUACCAAUCAUUAUCAUUUAUGAAAAAUGCUAUUUUGUUAUUUUUAAAAGGAAUGUUGUGAUAUAUUUUCAAUGAAAAUAUUAUCUUUGAAUUCUACCUUUAAGUCAGAGAAUUUGAAAAUAUUUCUUUAAUUAAAAUUUUUGAAUAUUGCUAAACAAAGUUUUUUGUUCAUUAAUUUUCUUUUUAAAAAUAAAAGGAAUUAUAAUUAAAUUUCGUAUCAGAAUCAUUUUUAUCCUAAAUUAUAAAUAGCACAUGAUUAAUAGAUACCAAUUUAAUGGGUGUUAUAAGGGUGCUAAUCCUUUCCCAUAUGAAACUAACUCCCAAACUCGAUUCUAUUUUUGUAGACAAAAACUAUUUUUUUAAUAAAGCUUUAAACCAUUUUUAUUAUUUUAUUAAAAAGAUAAAAUUUUUGGAUGGCCAAUCACACCCUAACAAAGAUUGGUGGUGACUUUUUGUGUUUUUUCACGAUCUUAAAUUUUUACGUCUAGCAAUUGAGUAUCAGGACCAAUACAUUAUGACAAUGAUGAUAAGUGAAAUUGUUGAAAUGGAUGCUUUUAUGGUUAAGUGGUGUGCUUGGAUUGGUCCAUUUCUGUCAUUCAUGCCAUGUUGUCCAUGCCAUAUCACUUGCAUUUGAAUUUGAAAAGAAAGAGGGAAAAAGAUUUGACUAAUUUGAAUUUUUCUCCUUGAUCUCUUAAACUCUUUUACUAGCUCUCAAACUCUUUUUGAAUUAAAUCUUGACUUGCUCUUGCAUCAAUGGGCAAACCUAGCUUGCAUGGUGAAGUAAGAUUCUUUUUAAAUUUUGAAAUGGCUUUUCUCUUGAAGGAAGCUUCUUCCUUCCUCAUUCCACGCAUCGGCUCACUUUAUGGAGCUUAUAAGACCGAUCCCUUAAGUGGGCUUUAGGUCUUGGCUGAAUUUUGUUGUUACCUUUGCAUGGGUUGCAUGGUUUUCAUUCAUGGUCGAAUGCUUCAAGGCAUUUGAGAACUUGGAUGGGCAGUUGCACAAGCAGGCUUUCUAGGUCUUUGGCCAAAUGCUAGUCCAUCACCUUUGUAUAGUUUUUGAAUUUCAUGUAAGGCAUGUAGGCUUUCAAGCAUUUUUGGUCCAAAUAUGCUUAGAAUGUCUAAAUUCUUCACAACAUAUAAAACAAGAAUUUAAGCAUAUUAUCGAUAAAAUAGUAGGUAUUAAAGAUCACUAAAAAUUUUAAAAUUUUGGGUAAAAGUGACUAUGGAAAAACCCUAGUUUUUAUAGUUAUCUAUUUUCAAAAUUGAAUCCCGAAUUAUUGUAACUAUUGUCUGAACAUUCACUAAUUAGGAAUGGAAAAUGGGUAAAGAAAUGAAAGGGUUUGUGAAAGCAAGCAUAAAAGAAGAGAAUGUAAUGAAAUGCAUUUUCUAUUUUAUUAAAAUGAAAGAUAAAAUAUCAACACUUAAAAGACCUCAUAAUGUUCAUGACAUCUUAAAAAUGACUAGCAACUAAAAAAAUCUUCUUAGAAUUAUGCCCUUAUAUAGUUAGGCAAAAGAUUUUCAACAACACUCAACCUUCAUUUAUCAUCAAAAUUUAGCAAACUAGCCAUGAUGAGACCUUGUACCUACUACAUCUAUCACAAGUGUAUGGAUUACACAAGUAAUACAAAUUGAAAGUACUUCAAACAUUGUCUCUUCAGAGAUAGGGUGUUCUAGUCUAAGGAUAAAUACCAAUUUUAACACUUUAGGUAUACCUCAUCCUAAUAAAAUUUUUAAUCUAAUUAUCUUAAAUUAAUCUAAAAAUUUACCAAAUAGUUAAACCUAACUGAACUACCAAUUAUGAAGAGGAAAGCACUAAAUGGAAAGUUACUAAAAGUGGCAGUUACUGAAAAUAAUAAGUUACUAAAAAUAAAAAGCUACAAAUCUUAUAAUUAAACAAAGCAAAUGUAAAAGCAUGAAUUAAAAUUGCAAUUAAAGAGAAGAGGGUUGGAAAACAAAACUUGAAAGCAACAAAUUCAAAUGGAAAUUUAACUUAACAAAAAUACCAAAAAAUAAUGUUAGCUUUUACUUGAAAAUUGACCUAAUUGAACUACUAACCUAAAAUAUCAUGCAUGAAAUGUCUAAAAUCAAAAUUAAGCAUGAAAAUGAGAUGGGAAUGCACUAAAUAUUGAUAUAAAGCUACCUAAAAGCUAAGCUAUAAAAUUGAAAAUUAAAUGACACAAAUUUUUAGUUAGGCAUUUUGUCGAACACCUAACGCACUAAACUCUAAUCCCUAAAAUAACAAGCCUAAAUCCUAAUCCAUGCAACCAAAACUAAAUUUAAGAUAUUUUAAAUGAAAUUGAUAUAAAAAAAAUGCUAGACAUGUCAUGACAAGUGAGCCUGAGAACCCAACUGUAGGACUUGUUUAAUGGUAAAAACGGAAGGCUAAAAACCAUUUUCAAUAAAAACCAAAAGAAUGAGUCACCAUUAAUCUUUUUUAGGAUGUGAUUGGCCACUUAAUUUUUUUCCUUUUAAUAAAAUAUUUAAAACGGGUUUAAAUUUUUAUAAAAGAACAUUUUGUGUUCUAUAAAAACAAAGUUGGGUCUGGGAGUCAGUUACGUUUAAAGAAAGAUUAGCACCCCCAUAGCACCCGUCAAAGAUGGUAUCAAUUGAUUGAAUGUUAUCUUUAAAUUUUUUACAAAAAAAAGUCCUAUUUUUAAUAUUUAGAAGUUAAUUCCUUAAUUUAUUCCAAAACUUGAAUUUUUUUCUUUUCUUUUAAAAGCAAAUCAAAUUUUUUUUCUUUUGGAAACAAAGUAAUUUAUUUUUGGAUCAAGAUAAAAAUGUCUUAGGUAUCGAGACACCUCUUUCACUCGCCAUAUUUAGGAAGAGCUUCAAAAACAUCUUUAAUUUAAAGGUUUUCAAAUUGCCUUGCAAAAUCGAGACAACACCUCGCAUAAAUGAUAACCAUCGAGAGUCAUUUUAUAUUUGGCCAAAUCUCGAAGGUUAUUUUUACUUAAGAUGUCAUAUUAUUUAACAAUAUUGUUCUUUGAAAACUCAUUUUUGAAAACAUAUGCAUGGUAUGUAUGAACGUGAUAAUAAUACGGAUGCAUUAGGGUUUGAGGGUUUUUAGGGUUUAGGGUAGGUUUAAGGUCUAGGUUAAGGAGUGGGGAUCAAUUUAGGGUUUGGGAUUAGAGUUUAAGGUUUUUGGUUUAGGGUCUAGGGUUUGGAUGGUGGUCUAGGGUUUGGAUGAUGGUUUAAGGUUUGGAUGGUGGUUUAAGGUUUGGAAUGAUAGUUGGGGUUCAAAUAGUGGUUUAGGGUUUGGGUGCUGGUUUAAGGUUAAGAAUGGUGCUUUAGGGUUUAAAUGGUUGUUUAGGGUUUGGAUGGUGGUUUAUAGUAUGGAACAGUGGGUUGGGGCUUCAUAGAAAAUACAUGUGAUAAAAAUAAAUAACGAGAAUAUCAUUAGUAAAAAUGUGAAUAUUAAUGCAUGGAAAAUACAUGACUAUAGAACAAACUUAUUACAAAUUAUGGUUUUUUUUAAACUAUAUUACAAACUAAAUAUACAUGCAACAAUAUGAUUAAAAUGGAUCAAACACUAAAAUUUUAAAAUUUUCAAGACAUGUUCCACCGUUUUUUUUAUUUUGGAAUUCAUACAAAUAGACACAAAAUCACCGAAAAGUCUACUAAACUAACAUUUUAUUCAUUGAAAACUUGAUCCAAAAACCAAGGAAAUUUGCAAAACAUACCAAAAAUAUAAGCAAACACACAUGACACAAACAACUUUUAGCCACCAUGCAAGAAAGGGAGGCUCGGCCAAAGCAUGGGCAGCUUGGCUGAACACUCCAUUUGGCUUCCACAAUCAUGCUUUUAUUUCAUUUAGUUUAAUCAUGCAUUAAACAUCAAAGUAUUCAUCAUAUGAAAGCAUUUUUAUCAUAAGAAGAAUUUCAUCAAACAUGUAAAAACUAACAAAUAAGGAAACCAUAAAAAUAAGAACAUUAGCCAAAUAGUAUAUGUAAACUACCAAAAUAAUCACCAAACAUGCAUUAAUCAUACUAUACAUCACUCCAAUCAUCCAUUAACAUUACUUAAAGCAAGAAAAACAAUCAAAAGAGACUAAAAUGAGGUUCAGCCAUUGUGGAAUAAGGUAGGAUCGAACCUCCAAUAGCCAAGACAAUGGUGGUUAGUUUUUUUGUUGCUUGAAUCCUUUUAAUUUCAAACACAAUUGAUUAGUUGGUUGACAAUUUAGAUGAAGCUUGUAUUUAACAAGAUAAAUAACUAUGAACUUUCAUAAAAAAAUAAAUAAAUAAAAUGAUAAACAGUAUUAAAACUAUGACAAUGGUAUGAAAAUGCUAUAGAAUGCAAAUGAUGAAAGUAAUGGAAAUUAUACCUCUUCAAAGCUUUUCCAAAUUUUGUUCCUUUAUUUUUUUUCCUUUUCCCCAUUAUUUUCAUGUUCAAUCCCCAACUACCUCCUUCCGAAAAAAAAAAAACCCUUUUUCCUUCCAGCCUUUAAGAAUGAAUUUAUAAGCCAUGCAAAAUUCAUGCAACACUUCAAUUGAUUUUCCAUCUAAUGGCCAUCUUUCUCCCUUGUUGCAAGAAAGCACCUUUCACCAUUAAAUUCAGCCUCUCAAGAUCAUCCUACAGUUCAGCAUGCUCAUGGCCAAAAGUUGCAUUUUUAAUGCUGCUUGAACCAUAUGAAAAGAACAUUUAUCCCCCACAAAAAAGUUUUCAAAUUUUUUUUAAUUUUCUUGGAGUAAUACGAUCCCUUUUUCAUUUUUAUAAUUUAAAAGCAUAAAAAAUCUUCAAAUAAUAUGAAAUUAUGAUCUAAAAAUUUUUAUGAAAGAUUGACCUUAGGAAAGUCAAAUUACAAAAUUUUUUCUUACAGGCAUUUUAGUAAUUUUACAACUUUCACUAUGCGAUCAAACUUUUUAAUGCACUAAAAAUUAUUAAAUAAUAUGUAAACAUGAUCUAAAAUUUUUCACAAAAAACCAUCCUCGAAAAGGUUAAAUUUCAAAAUACCUAUUAGGGUUUUGUUUUUUAAUUUUACAAUUUUCAAGGUGCGAUUAAGGUUUUUAAUGCAUUAAAAAUCAUAAAAUAAAAUAAAACCAUGACCUAGAGCGUUUGGCAAAAAAUCGACUUCGAGAAGAUCAAAUUAUGAAAAUACCCUUGCUAUUUUCAUAAUUUCACACCUUCAGGGUGUCAUCAAGGUUUUUGAUGCAUAAAAAAUCAUGAAAUAUUAUAAAAUCAUGAUUUACAACUGUCUUCAUAAAUCCAACUUUGAGAAAGUCAAAUUUACCAAAAUACCCCUAAAGGCAUUUCUAUAAUUUUACCCUUCACAAAGUACAAUCAAGGCUUUCAAUGUGUUAAAAUAAAAAAAAAAUUUAAGCCCUAUUAGUCCUAUGUGGUUUCGAUUUUUGAAAAAUAGACCCAAGUCCAAUCCGAUUUCACUGGUUUUGACUAGUUCUGAUCAAGUUUGACUUUGUUUGACUAGGUUGGACCAAGUUUGACCUGGGACAUUUUGGGUCAAAUUAGUCCUAAAUCGAUUUUGAAUACUUGUCAAAAUUAAAGAACUUUGGAUUUGAAUUAGGUUGGUUUUAAGAAGCUUCAAGUUGGCUGAAUUUUACUCAAAAAAAUAUGGUGUUUAUAACUACCUCUUUUUGCGUAUUUCUUAAAAUAAAAAAUAAUGCAAAAACCAAAGACAUCAAUUUUGUCUAAUACUAUGAUUGAAAAGAGUGAUUGCUUGCUUUUUUUUUUUUUUGAAAGUUUUGAAAACUAAAGGCUAAAAAAUUUUAAAAAUCUCAUUUAAAAACGCUCUUCUAAACAUAGGUAGAAAACUUUAAAAAUCUCGUUUUGAAAAAGGCUUAUAUAAACAUAGGUAGAGAACUUUUAAAAAUUUCAUGUUGAAAAAGGCUCUUAUAAACAUAAAUAGAGAACUUUAAAAAUCUCACUUUGAAAAAGACUUUUAUAAACAUAGGAAACUUUAAAAAUAUCUUUUUAAAAAGGCUCUUGUAAACAUAGGUAGGGAAUUUUAAAAAUCUCACUUUGAAAAAAGGCUCCUAUAAACAUAGGCAAGAAACUUUAAAAAUCUCAUUUUAGAAAAGGUUUUUAUAAAGAUAAGUAGAGAACUUUAAAAAUCUCACUUUAAAAAAAGAUUCUACAAGCAUCAAUAAAAAACUUUAAAAAUCUCAUGUUAAAAAAGGGCUCUUAUAAACAUAGGCAAGGAACUUUAAAAAUCUUGCUUUGAAAAAGGUAUUACAAAUUUCAUCUUUGAAAGCCUCAUCCUUGAAAUUUUUGGUUGCAUCUGAGGUCUUAAAAAAGGAUAUCUUUUCUUUAAACAUUGUUUCUUCUCUUUAGAUUUUUCUUGAAAGGUAUUCAUUUUUUUAUGGUGUGUUUGUUUUUCCAAAAUCAAAUUCAUUGUUUUUCCAAAAUCAAAUUCAUUCUUCAUACAAUGAAGGUAAUGAAUGCAAGGCAAACAGUGCAUGUGAUUCAAACAAUUUUGUUCACAUCAUGAAGGGAAUUAUGUAUCAUUAUCAGAGUUAAAGUAGCAAAAUUUUAAAAAAUUUUAAUUCUCUAAAGCCAAGAUCAAUCGAUAAGAUUAUACAAACAAACAACUUAAGAAACAUGCAUAGUUUCUGACUUAAGUGCGUACCUUGGAUACCGAAAUUCUUUUGGCUCAACUUGGUGAUCUUCCAAAUAGAUUCCAAGCCAAGAAGCAGCCCAAAUGUUCAGCUUCUAAUGGUAAUCCACUCAAACUCUUAUGAAAGAACCUUCUAUAAGGUUUGGUGAAAUCAAAGCCACACUAUAGCUAGUAAUUGUUUGUAAGACCUCUUGUAUUUUCUUAAGUGAAACUUACUUUCUUAUUAUUUGUCUUUAAUAAGAGGUGACUUGAUGUUCUUUUUAUAGGGGAUGCAUUUGGCCAUAUUAGAUUUAAUGUUUGGAAUACACGUUUCCACAAUUAACCCUAUGCUAUAGUGUGUGACUCAUUAGGUUUUUAGCAUGUUGGCAAUAAACACAAGUAUUGUAAGCCUUAGUACUUAGCUAUGGAUGAAGCAAACUUUUUGUCUUCAUCACCAAUUCUCUAAUUAACCAAUCUUAUGUUUAUAGAUCAUGAUCAAUGCUAACUUCAGUGCAAUGAACCCUGAUUGCCAAAAAAAAAUCUAUAUGGCUUAACAAUCUAUUUUGAAUGGUCUUGGUGUACAAUUAAUAUCCUUUCAUCACAUAAUAUUUUGGUUGAAUAUUGAGUAUGGUUUAGUGUCUACUCAAUCUUGUUCAAUCAUGUUUAGUCUUGUCCUUCACAUUAACUCACAAAUAAGCUUUACAACAAUUCUAAACUCUUAUUUCACUUUGGCCAAAGAUUUGUCAAGAUAAUUCAAACAAGAUUAGUUAAGAUACUAUUUUGAUCACUCAAGGUGAUGAAUCUCAUAUUGAUUACUUCAUGCAUCUUCAUAUGCCUCAUGUUAUACCCAACAAUAGUUGAUUGAAGUAUUCUUGGUUAGAACCAUAACUAAAGUAAAGUCAAAGUAUAACAUUCAUCAUAUAACAUCACAAGUAAUUUCAAGUCAAAGGAUCAUUUAUACAACCAUCACAUAAAAAUAUAGCUAUAGACACUAUGUGAACUACCAUAUAGCAUUCUUAUAUUGGGCCAUGUUCAGUGAACUUAUUCUUGUUAAAAGCACUCAAAUAUUAGCUCAAUCAUGUUUAGUCUUGUCCUUGACAUUAACUCGCAUAUAAGCUUUAGAACAAUUCUAAACUCUUAUUUCACUUUGGCUAAAUAUUUCUAAAGUUAAUUCAAUUAGGACUAGUUAAAAUACUCUCUUGAUCAUACAAGGUGAUGAAUCCCAUAUUGAUUACUUCAUACAUCUUCAUAUGCCUCAUGUUAUACCCAACAACAUUUGACUAAAGCAUUCUUGAUUAGAACUAUAAGUAAAGUAAAGUAAAGUUAAAGUAUAACAUUCAUCAUAGAAGACAUAAGUAAUCUCAAGUCAAAGGAUCACUUAUAUAACCAUUAUACAAUAAUGUAGCUAUAGACACUACAUGAACUACCAUAUAGCAUACUCAUAGCGAGUCAUGUUCAGUGAACUUAUUCUUGUAACAAGCACCCACAUGUUAGCUCAAGUUCAUCCAACCUUUAAAUAAUAAGAUCGGUUGCUUGCCUCAUAAGCAAUAGCAUAACCAUGUGCUAAUCUUAAUAUAAUAGCUUUAGUCAAUGUCCUCUUGUUGAUAAAACACUGACUUGGAACAAUUUUGGAACAUAUAACUUUUAUGCAAUGAUGAUCCCAUAAUUAUAAUCUCAUUGUAAUUCUCUUACAAAGCUUUAUUUAUAUUCUGAAGACUUUAUCAUAUAACCAUAAACAUUGAAAUACAUGUAUACAAGUUUAAUGAUAAAGAAAUAAGAUCUUUAUAAGAUAUCAAAUAUCAAAGUACUACAAAUAUGACAAUACUUUGGCCAAAAUAUGAUUAAACUUGAAAGGCAAAUAUCGACAAUCUCCCAUUUGCACUAAAGCUAAUAAUUCAUGUAUCUAAUACUAUAUUUGAUUACAUGCUUAUCAUGUUUCUAAUUGAAAAUAGCUUUAGAAAGAGGAUCAACAAUCCUCAGUAGGUACUUAUUCAAUUUUAAAAUCACCUCUAGAAACAAAAUCUCUAAUAAGAUGGUAUCCCCUUAAUACAUGUUUGGAUUUUUCAUGAGACCUCAGUUCCUUGGCUUGAGCAGUAGCUCCAUUGUUGUCAUAAUAAACUACUAUUGAAUCAACAAUGCUACAAACAAUCUUUAGUUCAAUUAUGAACUUCUUGAUCUAAAUGGCCUUUUUUGUAGCCUCAUAAUGCAAAGCUGUAUUUGGUUUCGAAUGUUAAGUUUGCAGUUGUACUUUGUUUGAAACUUUUCUAACUCAUUGCUCCACCAUUUAGAGUAAAACCAUAGCCAUUUUGAUACUUGCUAUCAUCCUUAUUAGAUUGAAAGUUUGCAUCACAAUAGCCCUCAAUAAGGAGUUCGACCCCACCAUAGACAAGAAACAUAUCCUUAGUUCUUAUCAAGUACUUAAGGAUUGUUUUCGUGACCAUCCAAUUACAUUCACCUAGAUUUGGUUUAUAUCUAUUUGUUAUGCUUAAAGUACAUGAGAUAUAAAGCCUUGUACAUAUUAUCGCAUACAUAAUGAAGCCAAUUGCUAAAGCAUAUGGAACUUUAUUCAUGCUAUCUUUCUCAAUUUAUGUUUUAGGACACAUGUCCUUGGAAAAAUUUAUGCCAAGUGAGAUAAGAAAGAAUCCCCUUUUGGAUUCUUUCAUGCUAAACCAUUUUAGCACUUUGUCUAUGUAUCCAAAUUGUGAGAGACUAAGCAACCUCUUUGAUCUAUCUCUACAGAUCCUUACGCCUAACACUUAUGUUAUUUCUCCCAAAUGCUUUAUGAAAAACUUUUUUUAUAACCAAAUCUUGGUAGAUUACAGCAUGGGUAUAUCAUUUCCUAAAAGCAAUAUGUUAUCCACAUACAACACUAUGAAAAUGAUUCCACUUCUACUUGUCUUCUAAUAUACACAAGGUUCAUCUACAUUUUUUAUGAAUCCAAAUUCUAUAAUUGCUUUAUCAAAAUGUAUAUUCCAACUCCUUGAUGCUUGCUUAAGUCCAUAGAUAGCCCUUUGAAGCUUACACACAAUUUUGGCAUUCUUUUUGGAUUCAAAACCUUCAGGUUGUGUCAACCACACAUCCCCUUGGAAACAACCAUUAAUGAAUGUUGUUUUGACAUCCAUUUGUCACAUCUCAUAUUCAUGGUAUGCGGUAAUAACGAAUGGAUUUUAAUGUGGCUACUAGUGAAAAGGUAUCAUUAAAAUCAACUUUUUAUUUUUUAUUAUAACCUUUUGCAACUAGCCUGGCUUUGUACGAUUAUACGUUGCCAUCCAUGACAAUUUUCUUAUUGAAAACUCACUUGCACCCUAUGGGUUUUAUCCUUUCAAAUGGUUCCACCAAAGUCAAUACUUGAUUUGCAAACAUGGAUUCCAUUUUGAAUUUCUUAGCCUCAUGCCAUUUUUUAGAAUCAAUGUCCAACAUUGCUUUUUGAUAGUUAGUAAAAUCAUCAUCUAUGAUCAACUCAUCCUUGUCCACAAGAAAUCCAUAUCUCUUAGUAGCUUGGCAAAUCCUACUUGACUUAUGUACUUUGAGCUCUUGGUUGCACAUCUAAUGCCUUAGCCAUUGGCUAAAGUUCUAUCCUUGUGUCAAUUUAUGUUUCUUGAAUUUUUUCAAGCUCUACUUUACUCCCACUAUUCUCUUCAACGAUAAACUCUUUUUCCAAGAAAACAACAUGUUUAGAAACAAACAUAUUUUGUUCCUUAGAGUUGUAGAAAUAAUAUCCAAUAGUUUCCUUUGUAUAUUCCAUAAAUUUACACUGCACUAAUCUGGCUCUAAGCUUAUUGACUGUGCAUGCUUCACAUAAGCAUCACAUUUCAAAAUCUUUAUGUGUGACAAGUUAGGUCUUUUACCUUCCCACUUAUCUUAUGGUAUCUUGUCAAAAAGAUUUAGAUGGAACUAUAUUUAGAAAAUAAGCAACUGUUUUAAAUGCAUAACCCUAGAAGGAUAUAGGAAGAUUUGAGUUGCUUAUCAUGGAUUGAAGCAUGUCCAACAAGGUUCUAUUUCUCCUUUUGAAAACUCAAUUAUCUUGUGGUGUUCUAAGUGCAGUCCAUUAUGAGAGAAUCCCAUUCUUUUUUAGAUAACUUAGAAAGUCAUGGUUUAAGUAUUCACAACCUUGAUCAAAUCUAAGUGUCAUAAUACUUUUACCAGUUUUCUUUCAACCUCCAUUCUAAAUUAUUUGAACUUUUCAAAGAUUCAGACUUAUGUUUCAUUAAAUGCAUAUAACUAUAUCUUGUACAAUCAUCAAUGACUGUAAUGAAAUAAGCUUCUCGAACAUUUAUGUUCAUUAAACCACAUACAUUCGAAUGUAUUGGUCUAAGAACCACACUAGCUCUUUCUCUUUUUCAAGUAAAAGGUGAUUUGGUCAUCUUUUCAAGCAAACAUGAUUCAUAAUCAAAAGGAACAAAGUAUCCUUAUGUAACAUUAUGAUUCUUGUUUCAUUAAUGUGACCGAGCCUAUAAUGCCACAAGUAAGAUUGAUUCAGUUUAUCUAGUUUAGUUUUCUGAACAUUUAUAUCGAGAACAUCAUUAUUUAAUCUAAGAACAUAUUAGACAUUAUCAUGCAUUCUCAUGCCAUAAAACACAUCAUUUAAAUAAAAGGAACAAUAAUUUCCUUUAAUAUUAAAUGAGUAUCCAUCAUUCAUACUUAAAUAAGAAACUGAAAUAAUGUUUUGAGUUAUGAUAGGAACAUAAUUAUAAUCCAUUAGUUCUAAAACUAAACUAGAAGGUAAAGGUAAAUAGCAAGCCCCACGGUAUAAGCAACAACAUUUGUGGCAUUUUCAACAUGCAAUGACUCCUCUCCCUUUUUUAAGCAUAUACUCCUCUUUACUCCUUAUAUGUUAUUACAUAAGUGAGAACUACAUUUGUUAUCCAAUACCUAAGAAGAUGUGUCAAGAAGAGAUAAAUUGAUCUUAAUCAUAAAUAUACUUAAAGUAGAAGUCACUUUAGAUUUCUUCUCCUUCAAGCUUGCUAGGUAGACAUUGCAAUUCCUCUUCUAGCGACCUUCUUUACCACAUUGAUGACAUGUAUCCUUGUCCUUCUUGAUGUUGCUAGCAAGCUUGAUAGCCUUGCUUACAUCCUCUUUCUUAUCAACUUUCUCACUUUUCUUCUUCUUGGCUGACUUUUUCUUAGCCUUAGAUGAAAAACCUAGAACAACCUCAAGCUUUUGAUUCUUAAUGGAUUUUUUGACAGUGUCAAGCAUAUUCAUCAAUUGUGGUAAUGUUACUUCACAUAUGAUGUAUAUUGAAGUUCAUUACAAAUUGUCAAAAGCUACUGGAAAAAGAUGAGAAGAUCUAAUCAAUACUUAACUCAAGAUCAAUCACAAACUCCAAUUGUCUAAGUUUCUCAAUCCAAUUGAUCAUUUUGAGAUAAUGCACUUUGAUCAAAGUGCUCUCAGACAUCAUUGUUCGAAAUAAUUCCUUAAAGGUCUCAAACCUCUCAGUUCGCCCUUUUUUGUCAAACAACUCUUUAAAGUGCAAAAUGAUUAUCAAAGCAUUCAUGUUCUCAUAUUGUUUUUGCAACUCAUGGGUCAUUCUAGCUUCCAUGAUACAUGUACCUUGAUUAGCAUGGUCUUCAGGCAUUUUAUACACUUGUCACACGGUAUCAUUAGCAUUAGUGUCUGGUUUCGAUGAAACCAUUUCAUUACGAACAUAAAGCAUAAUCUUUUGCCUAAGGAUAAGUUUUAGAUUAUGGUACCAAUCAUUGAAGUUAGGCCUUGUGAGCUUGUUAGCAUCAAGUAUGCUACAAAAUGACAAGUUAUUACUCAUUUCGCAACCUAUAAAAUAUGAACAAAUACCAGCAUAUUAUUUAAUACCAAUAUAGAUAAGGUUUAAAUCUAUAUAUUGGUUGCUGUCACUAUUUUAAUCAAAACAAUAGCCCUCAAUUUCAAUUUAGGAAAUCAUACUUUUCUAGUGGGCUUCGAUAGCAUUUAGUUUACCAUAACCUUGAGGUUUGUCUCAAUAAGCCAUGAUAAGUAAACUAGGUAGAUAACUUGCUUAUCAAUCACAAUCUCAUUUGACUCCUAGAUCAAUUAGGUGUGCCAUAACGUAUUGAUCUAAAGACUCUAUCGUUGGACAUAAAAAUUUAAAAUCGUGAAAACAUCAAGAGUCACCACCAAUCUCUUUUAGAGUGUGAUUGGCCACCCAAAAAUUUUAUCUUUUUAAUAAAAUAGGUUUAGAGCUUUAUUAAAAAGGCGGUAUUGGUUUAUGAAAACAAGAUUGGGCUUGAAAGUCAAUUACGUGCAAGAAAGAAUUAGCACUCCCAUAGCACCUACAAAAUUGAUACCAAUUAAAUAUGCGUUAUCAUUGGUUUUGGAAAUAAAUGGUUUCAUUUUAAGACUUAAAAAUAAUUCCCUCUAAUUUUAAUAAAUAUAAUUAAUUUAAAGAAAACUUUAUUUAAGAGUAUUAUGAAAAUUUUAGAUUAAAAAAAUAAAUUCAAAUUCGUCGACAUAAAGGCAAAUUUGAAAGAUAGCCUUUCAUCUAAAAUUUAUCACAACAUUUCUUUCAAAAAUAUUAAAAUAAUACUCUUUGUAAAUUAUAAUCAUUUAUUACUCUCCAACAUCUAGGCAUAGUACUAACAAUCAUAUUUCACAUCAUGCUAUUUUAAUUAUAUUUUCUCAAAACUAAAAAUUUUAAAGAAAAAUUUUUUACGCAGUAAAAACAAAAAAAAUAAUAUAAUUAAUAUUACACAUCAACAAACAUAUAUAUGAAUUAUGAACGUACACAUUAUUCUAGAUAUGAUAUAUAUGCAGAUGAUGGUAAUAUAUGAAUUUAAGAAUCAGGCUCUCAAAUAUAAAGAGACCACAUGGACUCUCUAAUAUCUAGGUAGAGUUUGAGUGUGACUAUUUAUAUUUAAAAUCUUAUUUUAUUGUCUUAUUGUUUUAUUGUUUUACUAUUUAUUAUUUAUUAUUAUUUAUUUAUUUGUAUUAUUAUUUUAAUUAUAGAAUCAUAUGAACAAUUCAAAAGGAAAUAAAAUUUAUUAAACAUCUCAUCACUUAGGCGGUGUUCGAGAACAAAUUAUUUCAUAAAAAGUUUUCAUAUAAAUCUUUAAAAGUUUAGGAUUUUUUAGAACUUCAAGAGUUUAGGGCCUAGGAUUUUAAUUUGGGGUUUCACUUAGGGUUUAAGGUUUCACCUAGGGUUUAAGGUUUUGCCUUGGGUUUAGAAUUUUACUAUGGGUUUCACUUUAGAGUCUCGCAUUAGGGUCUCAAUUUUAGGAUCUCAAAUUUUGCCUAGGGUUUAGUUUUAGGGUUUCAUAUUAGGGUUUUGUUUAUGAUUGUAUUUUAGGGUUUCAAAAAUUUACAAAUUGCUCUAACAAUCUCCAACACCUACGCAAACUUUCGGAGUAAGCUCGUUUUUCAUAAUUUUCUAAAAAAUAAAUUUUUAUAUUUUAAAAAUAUUAUUAUUAUUUAUCUUUUAUUAUUUAAAUAUUUAAUAAUUUCUAAAUAUCUAGGCGAAAUUAUUAAUUUUUAAAACAUGAUUUUUAAUUCUCUCUAACAUUUAGGCAAGAAUUUUUUAAAAAAUUUUAUUAUUAUUUUUGUAUUAUUAUGUUCUAGAAUUUUUUUUAAAUGCAAAUAACUAUUAAAAUGCAUAAACAUGAUCAAAGAUAAUAUGAGCAUGUCACUUAGUAAUUUAAUAGCUAUGUAAAGCCAUAAAACAAGUCCAUACAAUGCACCGUGUUUUAACAAAAGCAUAGCACUAGACUAAUUUCAAUAUCUGAAUUGCUUCUCAUGAACCAUGGAUGACAAGCCUAAAUUGAUUGGAAAGCAAAAAUUAAAACCGAAAAUCUAUGCCCCUACCCUACCUUUUGUUGAGUUUAUUAUUAUUAUUAUUAUUAUUAUUUAAACGUUCAAUCCAUGCCUACAUAUCCCAACCGAUUAUAUAUAGCAAAACCAGUAUAUAUAUAUAUAUAUAUAUAUAUAAAAAAAAAAAAAACAAAUGGGACAUAAAGCAAGAGCUUUUAAGAACAAACAAGGACGCUGGGGGCUUGAAAAUUCUCCCAAACUAACAAGACAGAAAGCUAUGACAAUAAAGAGAUUCUUUUUCCUGUCCACCUACUUCAUACAAAUGAACCAGGACUGAGAAAGAAAAGAAAAAAACAACGUAAAAAAGCAGUUUUUUUAAGUUCCUGUAAACAAAAUUAUCGCAGUGACAAUGGGCAGACAGAGCCUGGUUUUCCAAUAUGUUGAAGAAACUCUCGGCUGGGGGGCUCCAUAGACGUUGGAACAAGGUUGAAAAUCUCUCUUUUCUGCAGGAGGCGCCUUGUAGGUUUGCCUCUGUUUUCUAUUUUUCCAAUCAAAAAUUUCAUCUCAUUUAUACCAAGCGUAAGGAAGAACUAUGAAGUUCUUUUGAGACUCAACUAUCGUUAAAAAAAAAAAAAAAAAAAAAAAAAAAAAAAGGUACCCACGCACAAGAAGAAAAGCAAUGGAAUGGAAGGAAGCAAUUUUCAGGUUUUCAUGAAAGGAAAAAAAGUUACAGAGUGCUACCUUUCCUUCUGGUUUUUCUUCCUCUCUGUAUCCCUUUUGCUCAAAAUGCUUCUUCCCUUCUUUUCGUGUUCAAUUUUUUCUUUUCACGCCCAUGCACUUGUUUUCCUAGUUUUUUCUUUUUGUUUUUUGCUUCACGUUUUGGUCUGCUACUCGCUGCUCCAGUGCUAGUGUUUCUAGUUUCCUUUUUCUCGUUCAGCUUUGGUGCCACCUCUCUUCUGCUUCACGCCCUUCCUCUCUUUUCCACGCCUUCAGCGCAUGAAAACAUUUUUCUUUUGCCGCUUUUUUCUUUCCAGUUUUUCUGGUAUCACAUCUUCUGUUUCAGCACGUUUCUUCUCUCUUCUGCUGUCUGCCUGCUGCUGGAUUUUUUUUUUUGCCACCUUCCUCCUUUUUUCUUUUUGUUUUCUUUGGUUCCCUAGUUUUGCCCGUAUGCUUCUCCUUUUCCUGCUCGUGUUUGCUUCGCAAGGCCCUUUCCCUUCUGCGUUCCUUAGUUUUCUUCGCAGCCUCCGUUCCUUUCUCCCAUUUUCUUUUUUUUUUUGCUUACCUCUCCUUCCUUCUUUUCCUCGGUUUUCUUUGCAGCCCCCGUUCCUUUCUCCCUACUCUUUUCCAUGUUUUUCUGCUCGUCUCUUUUUAUUUUCACCAUUCCGUUUUUCUUUCUUUUAUUUUUUAUUUCCCUUUCCCUUUCCCUUUCCCCGCACACAUGCACUUUUUCUUUGUUUGUAGGCAACCGCUUCCCACGUUCCAUGCCAUUUCCUUCACAUUUUCCCCUGUUUUUUCUUUCAUGGCAUGCACGGCAUGGCCAUUUCACGUGCUAGGUCUUUCUUUUGUUUAUUGUUUCCUUAUUAUAUAUAUAUAUAUAUAUAUAUAUAUAUAUUUAUUUAUUUAUUUAUAUAAUAUAUAUAAAUAUUUUGGACUUCACCUUGAUUACGGGCUUUCAAAAAGUUUUGUUUUAUUUUAACCUCAAUUGGCCCUCACAAUUUCAUUUUAGGCCAAGUUAUUUUUUAUUUUUUAUAUUUAUAUUUAUAUUUAAUAUUAUUGUAUUUAUAUCUUAUAUUUUAUUUUUUUAUUUUUUUAUUUUUUAUUUUUUAUUUUUAUAUUAUUUUUAUUUUGUUUAAUGGCCAAGAAUGGGUCGCUAAUGGGCUUUCAUAAAUACGGGCCUUUAUUGGGCCACUUUGAAUAUUAUUCGAGUUAUAAAACAGGCCCUGCCAUGUGGCCCUUAUUAGGCCUCAUCACUUGAGCAUUUAAAAUUGGACCAUUAGUGGACCUAAAAAAUUGAUAAUUGAAACCCAAUUGCAAAAUCAAACCCGGGUUAGAGUAAAAUAUUUCGGAUCAAAUUAGGAGUCUAUAACUAUCCUUUUUAUAUAUUUCUGAGGAUCAUGAAUAAUACAAAGACAUAAACAAUAAUUUUAUCCGGAUAGUCCAGAUACUUCUCCUUUUAUUUUUUUUAAUUUUUUUGUUUUUUGGUUUUUUUUGUUUUUCGGUUUUUUUGUUUUUUUUUGUUUGCUUUUUUUUUAGAACAAUCGGGACAACACCGUAAGUUGGGUAAUAAAGAAUAAUCGAGAUAAUACCGUAAGUCAAGUAAUAAUGAACGAUCGGGAUAACAUCACAAGGCAAAAAAUAAAGAAUGACCAAGACAACACCACAAGUUCGAAAUAAAGAUGAUCGAAACAAAAUUGUAAGUUAAAAUGAAGAUUAACCGUGACAAAAUCAUAGGUUAAAAUCACAAAUGACUGGGACAACAUUGCAAGUCAAGUAAUAGUAAAAGACCAAGACACCACCACAAGUCAAAAAUAAAAGAGAUCGGGACAACAUCGUAAGUCAGAAAUAACGAAUGACCAAGACAACACUACAAGUGAGAAAUAAAAGAUUACCAAGACAACAUCACAAGUUAGAAAUAAACAUCAUAAAUAUAGGAUGACCAAACAAUACCAUAGGUUAAAAAUAAAAGACGACUAAGACAAUACCUUAGGUCAAAAAAAUGAUUGAGACAACACCACAAGUCAAAAAUAAAAGAACGAUUGGGACAAUUCCAUAAGUCAAAAAUAAAAGACGACCAAGAUAACACUGCAAGUUAGAAAUAAAGGAUGAUUAAGACAAAAUUUUCAUUGGUGCUACUUAGACUAGGCUUAAAUUUUCUUUGGUGCCAACUACACGAGCUUAAAUCUUUUCAUGAGGUGCCAACUAAGUUGGGCUUAAAUGUUCAUUGGAGCUAGCUAAUCUAGGCUUAAAUUCUCAUUGAGUGCUAACUAAAGUGGGUUUAAAUCUUUCAUUGGAUGCCAACUAAACUGGGCUUAAAUUUUUAUUGGUGCCAGUUAAUACUGGGCUUAAAACUUGGGUGCCAACUAAAUAGGGCUUAAAUUUUUUCAUGAUAUGCCAGCUAAACUAGGCUAAAAUGUUUCUUUGAUACCAGUCAAACUAGGCUUAAAUCUUUCAUUAAUACCAGUCAAACUGGCUAAAUCUUUCUAUAAUGUGCCAACUAAACUAGGCUUAAAUCUUUCAUUGAUACCAGUUAAACUAGGCUUAAAACUUGGGUGCCAACUAAACUGAGCCUAAAUUUUUUAUGAUGUGCCAACAAAACUAGGCUUAAAUUCUUUCAUGAGGUGCCAACUAAACUGGGCUUACAAUAUGGGUGACAGCUAAACUGGGCUUAAAUCUUUCAUGAUGUGCCAAUAAAACUAGGCUUAAAUUCUUUCAUGGGGUGCCAACUAAAUUAGGCUUAUAUCUUUUCAUGAGUGCCAACUAAACUAAGCUUAAAUUUUCUUAAUGUCAGCCAAACUAGGCUUAAAUCUUUUCAUGAUAUGCCAACUAAACUAAGCUUAAGUUUUUCUUAAUGUCAGCCAAACAAGGCUUAAAUCUUUUCAUGAUGUGCCAGAUAAACUGGGCUUAAAUUUUCUUUGGUGCCAAACAAACUAGGCUUAAAUUUUUUCAUAAGGUACCAAAUAAACUUAGCUUAAAUUUUCAUUAGUGCCAACAAAAAUGGGCUUAAAUUCUUUCAUAAGAUGCCAACUAAACUAGGCUUACAUCUUUUCAUGAGUGCUAGCUAAACUAGAUUUAAACUUUCAUUGGGUGCCAACUAAACUAGGCUUAAAUUCUCGAGGAUUGGUGACCCCUAUCAGAAAUGAAAGAGGUGAACAUUUUCGUUUAAACUAGAUUAAAUAGUUUAGCACAUUAAGAUUUUUUGUUCAUUCAAAAAGGGUUUCUCCACCUGAAGAGGAUAAAAAAGUCAUAUACUUUUUCCAUGUAAGCUCACAGAUGAAAUAUAAGUUUUCCUAAAACAUGAAUCCCUUAAAUACCAAACAUAUUCAACAUUUUCUUUAGCAUUCAAAUGUGGUAUUUUGAUAUAUGUCAAGAUUAGCUAUAAGGGUUUGAGAUUUUGAAAGGUUAUUUGGGUAUGGGAAAAGGCUGAGAUUUUUGAAAUCAGUCAUUCUCAAACUUCUUGGACCUUGAUAUUUUAGAUCUUUUAAAAAGGUUUAGCUUAUCUUUGUUUAGCAUCUACCACAUUUAGCAUUAGAAUUAGCCUUCAAGAUUUGCUCUAGAUUGCCAUUUUUCAGGAUUUUCACGCUAGAGCCACAUUUAUAUUUUUGUUUUUUUUUUUUUCUUUUUUAUCACUAUACCAUGUAUUUAAGAAUUCAAACUUAAUUAAAUGGAGUUAAUGGUCCAAACAAAAAAUUAGGUAAUAAAGAGGGACCAAAAGGUUUAAAGAUUUCAUGGCCAUUUUCUUAAAAAAAACUCUUCAAUUUUUAAGCAUUCAUGUUUGAUCCAAUAUGGACUUUUCAUGGGAUGUAACAUAGGCUAAUGUUUGGGGUUGUCAAAAGAAAAGGAUAAAAAGGCCCAAAACAAGUAUUUAAGGGUAAUUAAAACCAAGGAUCAAACUCAUUUGAAGGAUACACUCUGAGGUAUAUUCCCUUGCAUUCUCUUAUGCUUUCCACCCAUUCCUUUCCUUUUUUUUCUUCUCUUUCAUUUCCUUAUUUUCUUCAUUUUUCAUUCUUUCACUGAGUGGAUUCAAAACUUUUAAAAAUUUUUAUAUUAGGCCUUUGCCCUAACAUAUGGGAUUCUAUUGGGACAUCACUAUUCUUAACCCUUAAAUACAUCUCUUUUUGCCUCCAGUAUGAAAGAUGAUUCUUAAUUUGGAUUUAUUUUAAAAGAAAAUUAAUUAAGCUUAAUGGGGUAGGAAAGGAUAAAUUUCUACAUUUGUGAAGGGAUAAUAAAAGACGAUCAUUUGUCAUUUCAAGUAUGAUCACUUAAAUUGAAGAGCAGUUCCUUUUUGGGAAAAUGAAUUUGAAAAAAGUAUUUCAUUUCAGAAGUUUUUUCUUUUUGACGCUAUUGGUUUUCUUGACUUUAUUUUAUAGCCUUUUCAACUUAGGCUUUUGUUUUUGCCUUUCUUUUCUCUAAAAUUUUUGGAUUUGUCAAGACUUUAUUUGGAUUCAUUCAAACUUCUUAAGUGCAUGAUGUAAUAACUAUUUUUCUUUUCUUUUUUUUUUUGUUUUUUCUCCUUUUUUUUUGGAAUAACCCCCUAAAUUCAUUUUGCUAGUAAUGCGUUUUAGGGAAAAUGCCCCAUUUUGGCAAACCAUCCUUAAUAGAAGUUAUUAGAAGAAAAAGAUUAUAUCGAAUGAAUGAGAAAGGGUCACAUGGAAUGAACUCAUUUAAGGUAUCAAAUAGUCCAUAUCACUUUACCAAAAAGAGAACAAUAGGUUGAUUAUAAUUCAUGUUGUCUUAAGAGCAAUGAGGUCUUUCUGCUCUGAUCCACAUGCUCACAAGACACAUGGGCCAAGCCCAAUUUUGGGGUAAAUAGUUGAAAGGUUGAUAAAUAUGAGGUUAUUUUAUAGGACUUGGGUUGGCUUUGAUUUUGAAAGAUUUUUGGAUCUAUAGUGUAACAUUAAACAUCAAAUUACCACAUAUGAAUCCUUAAAAGAAUAUGUUAGCCUGCUCUUCUAGAAAUUCAAAUUUCCUUUUUUCUUUUUUAAUUAGAUGUUUCAUUGUUCAUUGCCUUGGAAAAGAAUAUCAUCAUUUAACAUUAUAACAUUAUCAGGUGAGGACAAGGUUCACAAAUUCAAAUUCAAGCCUUUUGAAGAGUGAUGGCUGAUGAAUAAGAUCAACUAAAUGACUUAAGAAAAAGUGUUUAAGUAUUUGACAAAUUUCUAAUAGUGAUGCCAACUCUUCCAUGACUCAAAACUUUCUUUUUUGUCAUUUUCUUUUUCUAGUGUUUUUAGGGUAUAUAUAUAUAUAUUUAUAACCUUGGGACCUAACUAUGUGCGGCUUUACUCAAAUCUAACAUUUUCUCCCUUUUUACCAAUUACAAGUCCAAAAUUUAAUAGAAAUCGAAAAUAUCAAAUGAUGAUAUAAAUCUAUGAAACACACAUGAAGCACAAGAUCUAUUUAUGCAAUGCAAACACUCAAAAUCUCACAUUCCUAAUAGUACUCUUGUAAAAACAUUCAAACUUAAGAUCGAAGGUUCCCUACUUAGUGCUUUAGCUUUAGAAUUAUUGCCUCUCAAUCUUGCCAGCUUUAAUCACAUUCUCAAUCAUUUCCCCAAAAACCACCAUAUUGCAAAAAUUCUUUAUAGCAUUUCCCAUAAUUUUGUCAUAAUAUGAGGCCUUUAACAUACUAAUAAAUAGCACUGUAACUUUUUUUUUCGUUAACGGUGGAUGGACUUGAGCCGCUGCAUCUCUCCAACAAUGCGUACACUCCUUAAAGCUUUCUGUUAACUUUUUUUCCUUAUUCUACAAAGAUAACCUAUUCAGAACAAUAUCAAUAACAUGCUUAUAUUGAGCCAAGAAAGCUUUAGCUAAAUCUUUCUAUGCAUGGAUCCAACUUCGAUCUAAUUAAACAUACCAUUUUGCUACUGAUCUAGUUAAACUAUCUUGAAAAUAAUGUUUCAAAAGCUUGUCAUUGUGAGUAUGACUUGCCAUUUUACAACAAAACAUCGUAACAUGAGCAGAAGGACAUGUAGUUCCAAUGAACUUUUUAAAAUUGAAAACCUUGAAUCUUGUUGGUAUAACCAAACCAUGCACCAAACUGAGCUUAUUUGCAUUCAUAUUCCUAAAGGUGGCAUUCCCUUCCACGACUCUUAGUCUUUCUUCUAGCAGUUCACAUUUAUUUUUAAUCUCUACACUCAUUACUAGCACAUAUAUGCCAUAUAGCUUUUUUGGUUCAACAGGAUCAUUGAAAUUUAGUAUACUGAUAGGAUCGAUCGGACCCAAUCUUGGAUUGAUUUUCACAUGCACCUGAGGUUGACUAACAGAAGGUCCAGCACUAAUGUAAAGCUAGAGUUGACUAAUAGAAGAUCCAACAAAAGUGAAAGGGUGUGUGGUUGGUGGCUGUAAAUGGAUUCCUUAGGAAGUAUGAACUUGAGGUGGAGUGAAUCCCAAAAGAUAUGUUGACUCCUCUAUAUUAAUCCCAUCUCCUAAUCCCUGUGUGCUAGCAACUUCUUUGCCUUUUAGGGGGCUAGUUAAUAAUUAUCUUAACUCAAACAUCUGUGCCUUGAUAUUCAAUUAUAUUUCCAUCACUCUCUCUUUUAUCUCCUAUUGUGCCUUCUAGACCCUCUCAAACCUAGUUGAAUUACCUUCUUCCAUAACUCGAGAAUUAGAGCAGGUAUUAUACGUGUGAAACUAUUUAAGCUGACUUCUUUGAGUUUGUUAUCCUUGAAACUCUCUUUAUUUGUCAUGAAUUAGAAUGCAUGGUAUAAUCAUCAUUGUUAUUACUAUUAUUAGUAUCAUUAUUAUUAUUAAUUUGCUUUUAUUAAUUUACAUGUAUGCAAUGAAUGUAAUGUAAUGCAAAUUGCUUUGGAUUAAUCUAAGUAAAAAGAAACAAUCAUUAACCAUAGAAAUCUCUACACAUCAACCAAUCAUCCAUGUAUGAAAACCACAAAAACACCUAAUUUGAGCAUAAUGCUCCCUAGCUUCACAAAAGAAACUCAAUAAGCGUUGAUUGCAAUGCUAAGUCAAAAUGACCUCUCACUCAAGUUUUUCAGCUCUCUCCACCAUUUUAUUGCCUUUCUGCACCGUAUUGUAGAUCUAUGAAGUCAAGUGCUUUAUGCACUGUUGCCUUCCUAGGCUAUCCACUCUCCACAUUUUCCAAGCUUCCACUUCCAUGUUAUAGGUAUAAGCCUAAUAAUCCUCCUUCUCUUGCCAUUCAAUCAAAAUCUUAUCUAUGCAAUUCUAAUUGUUAACCAACUAAAUUUCCAAGCUCAUUAGCUCAUGUUCCAAAAGCUUUUUUCUCUUUUACAAAUCAAAACUCCUAUUCUGUUCUCCUUUCAAUCUGGCCCUUAGCUUUUCGUUUUCCUAUUGGCACUUGGCUACCUUUGUAAAGACUCUAAAAAGUUUAUCUUUCCAUGUUUGCAGUUUUUUGGUGAGUAUAGAGAUCACUCUUUUAUUUUCUCAAGCUUUACUCUUUCAAUAUUCCACCAUCUUUCUUAAUUCUUCCACAUCCUUCUUAGAUCCCUUUGAAGGUCUGAUGUCCAUCCUCAAUCUCUUAUUCUCUUGGUGAAGAUCUUGUAAAUCUCUUUUCAACACCUUUCGCUCCUUGGUCAACUUUUAUAAGGCAUCAUCUUUCAUCAUCAAAUCAUACAUCAACUAGUUGACUUGAUUUAUCAUUGUCAUCUUUUCUUUCCCUAUCUUCUUUCUUUUCAUCUUAAACUCUCACUGAGUGAUCUUAAGAGUCGACAAUAUCGACUCUAAAGUAAAAGUGGGCAACUAAUUUGAAACAUCCACUAGCAAGGGCCUAACUUCAUUGACUCUUUUCAUUCUCCAUGCAAGGUACCCUUCCAUAACAUUAUCUGCAUAUUUGGCUAGGUUCAUCCGAUUAAUUAGCUUUUAUGCCUUGAUGACCUCUUGGACCUUUUUCAUAUAACCAAAUGCCCUAUAGUCAAACUUGAGCAAACUAAGUCCAUAAGUCAUAAAGAUGAAUUCAUGAAAAUCCUAUUACUUUUAAACCAUGAGAGGUGCACAACUCACUGACCCCUAUAUCCCUAGCAAUGGUACCCAUGACUCAUCUCUACAAUUGUACAAAAUGGUUGUUGGAAGCAUCCAAGGCAUACUCCAUGUUACAUCUUCACUAGUAAGCUUUAGAAACAAUGACAUCCAUUGCCUUUUCUCCAAUCCCUCUACCAUUUCUUGGUGAUAAACUCUUGAUGGGAACGAAAUGAAUGGAGAAAAGCUGAAAUGAUAUCUUUCUUUUUCUCCAAAAAUGACCUCUAAGCUAAACAAAAAGCAACUGAGCAUAUCCUUUGAAUCAUUACUCACCCUUCAUUCGAUAGAAGUUAAGCGAUCUAAUGGUCUUCGCUAAAAUAGUCGAUGAAGGAUUUAUACCUUUAUCCAAUUGCUCAAAGAAAUCAACCAUUGAUGCUUCUACAUAUCCUAAAACCUUAGGGAAUAUCAUCAAACCAUAUACGACCAAAGCAAAUCAGUCUAAUCCCUAAUCAUUAUCAAGAUGCUUCAUUAUAUGCUUUAACAAGAAGGUCGAUGGAAUGGUCUCGACCUAAUUCUUUUCCUUCUUAUGCUUGUCAAUCUCUUUAAACCCUAUUUGCAAAAUCUUAGCUAACUUAUUUGUAUAUCCGGUAGUCUUUUGCUCUUUUCAAUAAAUAUUAUCUUAAUUGGCAAACUCUAUCCAGAGUAAAGAUGAACAUUCUUCAAUUAUGAGGGCCAAGUCUUGUUGCUUAAACAUGAAAUACCGAUAAGAUGGAUCCUAAAAUUGUAUCGUAACCCUAACUAGUUCCUCAUCAAUCUUUAUUGAUAGAAGCAAUGCCAUAUCCCCAUAUUUCCUCAAAAAAUAAUCUUUCUUUUCUACUCCCCACUGUCACCAUAUGGUUUCCAAUUCGACUAUAUCAUUUUAACUCAAAUCCAUGUGCACUAACUGUGGAAGUGUAGAAACGUAACUGACCUCUAAACAAUCUCUUUGUUUUUCUUGGGUGCUUUUUAAUUGGCUUUUGACUUCCAAAUAAUUCCUGUUGGAGGCUAAUGCUACUGAUGGCUUCGUGAGUACUUCUUCUACUAUUGAUUGACCCAAAACAAAUACCCCUCUUCAGAUGUAAUAUUUAUAUGAUGUAUGCAACAAAAUUAAAAGUUAUACAAAUAAAAGAAAUUAAAGAUCCAAACAAACAAAUAAUAACAAUAACAAAACAAUCAUAUUAUACAACAAAAAUAAUAAAAUAUAUAUAGUAUCCUAAUCUUUGGUAAUUUUCUAAAACAGGUGGCAUAGCUCUACCCUAGGCAGGCUUCCUAUGGCUUAUGAUAUGCUAGGUUGGGAUUUACUUGUCUAAAAGUUCCCAAAUCAACCUUACACCUUUAUCUAUUACAGACUAAUAAGGUAAAUGAAUCCCUCAUACAUUACAGGCUACAAACGAAAAGGGUUCAAUCUGAGUCAAAAUGUUUCACUAGCAAAUGAAAAGGUCAUCACCUCACAAGAUAAUUGCUACUUUAUUCCUCUUAAUAAGGACAGAGCCCAAGUCUAGAGCUUAUGCAUGUAAGUGAGUAUGCAAAAGUGUGCAGAGUGACAUAUUAAACAAAACAACAUAAAUAAAUCACAAACACAAUAUCAAAACAAGGUAAUAACUAACAUACAACUUAUUUUGUUUAUUAACUUAUACAUUUUUUUGAAAAAUUAAAAUAAGGGGAAUUAAAAUAAAUAUCCAACUAAACCAAUUAAAUCCAAAAUUUUGAAUAUGCAUAAUUAUGAUUUUUGGCCUAACUCUCUUCAUAUCCCCAGUGGAGUAGCCAAGUUAUCAUACAGUAUCGGUCCAGAGACUCGAUCACUAGACUUAAAAAUUUUAAAUCAUGAAAACAUAGGGAGUCAUCACUAAUUUUUUUUAAGGUGUUAUUGGCUACCCAAAAAUUUUACCAUUUUAAUAAAACUGGUUUAGAACUUUAUUAAAAUGACAAUUUUAGUCUACAAAAAUAAGAUUGGGCUCAAAAGUUGGUUAUGUGCAAGGAAGGAUUUGUACCCCUACAACGCUCACAAAAUUGGUACCAAUUAAAUAUGCGCUAUCAUUCGUUUUGGAUUAAAAUGGUUUCAUUUUAAGACUUAAUAAUAAUUCCCUCUAUUUUUAAGAAAUAUGAUUAAUUUAAAGAAAACUUUAUUUAGGAGUAUUAUGAAAUUUUUAGAUUAAAGAAAUAUCUUCAAAUUCCCAGACAUAAAGGUAGAAUUGAAAGAUAGCUUUUUCAUCCAAAAUUUAUUGCAACAACCCUUUUAAAAAUAAUAAAAUAACACUCUUUGUAAAUGAUAAUCAUUAAUGACUCUCCAACAUCUAGGUAAAGUAUCAACAAUUAUAUUUCACAUAAUAUUAUUUUAAUUUUAUUUCCUCAAAACUAAAAGUUUUAAAGAAACAAUUUUUACCUAGUAAAAAUGAAAAAAUAAUAUAAUUAAUAUUACACAUCCACAAACAUAUAUAUGAAUUAUGAAUGUACACAUUAUUCUAGAAAUGAGAUAUAUGCAGAUGAUGGUAAAAUAUGAAUUUAAAAAUUGAGCUUUCAAAUAUAAAGAGAUCGUUUAGACUCUCCAACAUCUAGGUAGAGUUUGGGUGUAAUUAUUUAUAUUUAAAAUCUUGUUUUAUUAUUUUAUUAGUUAUUUCUUAUUCAUUAUUUUUUAUUAUUAUUUUAAUUACAGAAUGAUUUGAACAAUCCAUAAAGAAAUAAAAUUUCCUAAAUACCCGAUCACUUAGGAAGUGUUGGGAACAAAUUAUUUCAUAAAAGGUUUUCAUACAAAUCUUUAAAAUUUUAGGAUUUUUUAGAGCUUUGGGAUUUUAGGGCUUACGUUUUUCAUUUAGGGUUUCAACUAGGGCUUUCGGGUUUUGCCAAGGGUUUAGAAUUUUACUUUGGGUUUUACUUUAGGGUUUCACAUUAGGGUCUCACUUAGGGUUCAAUUUAAGGUUCUGCAUUAGGGUCUUGAUUUUAGGAUCUCGGAUUUUACCUAGGGUUUAGUUUUAGGGUUUCAUACUAGCGUUUUGGUUAGGAUUGUAUUUUAGCAUUCCAAAAAUUUAUAAACUUCUCUAACAAUCUCCAACAUUUAAGCACACUUUUAGAGUCAACUCGUUUUUCAUAAUUUUCUAAAAAAUAAAUUUUUAUAUUUUAAAAAUUUUAUUACUAUUAUUAUUAUUAUUAUUUAUCUUUUGUUAUUUAAAUACUUAAUAAUUCCCCAACACCUAAGUGAAAUUAUUAAUUUUUAAACAUAAUUUUUAAUUCCCUCUAACAUCUAAACAAGGAUUUUUUUAAAAAAUUUUAUUAUUAUUUUUUCAUUAUUAUGUUCUACAAAUCUUUUUAAAUGUAAAUAGCAAUUAAAAUACAGAAACAUGAUCAAAGAUAAUAUGAACAAGUCACUUAAUAACUUAAUAGCUAUGUAAAGCCAUAAAACAAGUCCAUACAAUGCACCGUGUUUUCACAAAAGCAUAGCACUAGACUAAUUUCAAUAUCUGAAUUGCUUCUCAUGAACCACAGAUAACAGCCUAAAUUGAUUGCAAAACAAAAAUCAAAAUCGAAAAUCUAUGGCCCUGCCCUACCUUUUAUUGAGUUUAUUAUUAUUAUUUUUUUAAAAAAAUCAACCCAUGCAUACAUAUCCCAACCGAAUAAAUAUAGCAAACUAGUAUAUAAAAAAACAAAUAGGACAUAAAGCAAGAGUUUUUAAGAACAAACAAGGAUGCUGGGGGUUUGAAAAUUCUCUCAAACUAACAAGAUAGUAAGCCAUGACAAUAAAGAGAUUCUUUUUCCUAUCCACCUACUUCAUAUAAAUGAACUAGGACUAAGAAAGAAAAGAAAAAACACAACCAAAAAGGUAAUUCUUUAAUUUUCUAUAAACAAAAUUAUGGCUAUGACAAUGAGCAUACACAGCAUGGUUUUCCAAUAUGUAGAAGAAACUAUUAGGUGGGGGGCUCUAUAGAUGUUAGAACAAGGUUAAAAAUCUCUCUUUUUUGCAAGAGGCGCCUUCUAUGUUUGCCUCUAUUUUCUAUUUUUCCAAACAAAAUUUUCAUCUCAUUUUAUGCCAAUCGUGGGGAAGAACUAUGAAGUUCAUGUGAGACUCCUCUAUCAUAAAAAAAAAAAAAAUCAAUGGAAUGGAAGCAAGCAAAUUUUAGCUUUUCAUGAAAAUAAAAAAAAAAUUACAAAGUGUUAUCUUUCCUUCUAGUUGUUUCUCUUUCUCUCUAUAUCCUUUUUGCCCAAAAUGCUUCUUCCUUUCUUUUCGUGUUCAAUUUUUUUUUUCAUGUCUAUGCACUUUUUUUUUUGCUUCACAUUUUAGUCUACUACUCGCACCUCCAAUGCUUGUGUUUCUAGUUCUCUUUUUCUAGUUCAGUUUUGACACCACCUCUCUUCUGCUUCACACUCUUCCUUUCUUUUCCAUAUCUACAGUGCAUGAAAACAUUUUUCUUUUGCUACUUUCUUUCUUCCAGUUUUUUUAUCUCACAUCUUCUAUUUUGGCAUGUUUUUUCUCACUUCUGUUAUCUGUCUGCUGUUGUUUUUUUUUUGCAACCUUUUUCCUUUUUUUUUUAUUUUCUUUUGUUCCUUAGUUUUGGCCAUAUGCUUCUCCUUUUCUUGCUAGUGUUUGCUUCACAAACCCUUUUUUUUUUCUAUGUUUCUUUACUUUCUACUAGUAGGGCUUAUUAAGACAAAACUCAAGGCACUCAUUAUUCAAAAUAAGGUUGUGUUUUGGUUAAUGGGUCUUACUUAACUAUCAUUGUAUUAUUUGGAUGCAAAAAACUUGACCAUAUAAAGAUAGAGGUAAUGAUUGGGCAAAUCACAUAAGAUGUAAUUAGAUAAGGAGUUGUCACCCUAUAGACACCUAAUUUUGUCUAGAAUAUUUUAUCACUUUAACCCGAAUUUGAUUUCACAAUUGGGUUUUGUUCAUCAAUUUUUUAGGUCUAUUAACAGUCCAUUUUUAAAUGCUUAAAGAUGAGGCCUAAUAAGAGCCCCAUGGCAAGGCCUAUUGUAUAAGCUUGAAUAAUACUUAAAGUGGCACUAAAAAUGGGCCCAAUAAAGGCCUAUAUUUAUGAAAGCCCAUUAGCGGCCCAUUGUUGGCCAUUAAACAAAAUAAUAAUAACAUAAAAAAUAAUAAUAAUAAUAUAAAAUAUAAAAAUAAUAAUAUUAAAAAUAAAUAUAAAGAUAAAAUAAUAAAAAAUAGCUUAACCUAAAAUUAAAUUGUAAGGGCCAUUUGAGGUUAAAAAUAAAACAAAACUUUUUGAAUGCCCAUAAUCAAGAUGAAGCCCAAAAUAUAUAAAUAUAUAUAAUACGGAAACAAUAAACAAAAGAAAGAGCUAACACGUGCAAUGGUCAUGCUAUGCAUGCCAUGAAAGAAAAAAAUAGGGAAAAACAUUAAGGAAAUGGCAUGGAAUGUGGGAAGUAGUUGCCUAAAAACAAAGGAAAAAUUGCAUAUGUGUAAGGAAGGGGAAAUGGAAAUAAAAAAAAAAGAAAAACGGAAUGCUAAAAAAAGAAAAAAAAAAGAGAAGCAAAUUAAUGGAAGGCAUCAAGACUUAAUAUUUUUCAUGAGGGAUUUUUGAUUCAUCAUAGGUCUCAUCAAGCAUGCACAAGAAUUCAUCAUAUAUCCAAUAUAUGUAAUCUUAUCAUCCAUCUCAUAAUUAUACAUGGCAUUUAUCAUAUAUAAAUUCUAGCAUGUAUAAUAAUAAAUCAAUAUAGCACUUAUGGUAUUUAUCUCAUAACUAACAUGUAUACUAUAACAAUCAUCCGAUUUAGUUCAAAUUUAUGAUCUUGAACAUCUAUUCUUUCAAUCAAUAUCAAUAUCAUACAUCAAUUAUCAAUCCAACUUAACGUGAUGCAAGACAAAGACAUGUUUAGCUAGCAUGGCCAAAUAUGUCUAACUACUAUAUUAGGAACAUGUAAUUUGCAAUCAUAAUCUCCUAAUCAAUUAAGAAAUUAUAAUUUUGCUUGAAUUUUAAUGUAACAUGGUUUACAUCACUCUAAACCAUCUAGGAAAGCCAAUCAAUUAAAAUCAAGUCAAAUUCAUGCAUCGAGAUUUUUCUAGUCCAACUAGGUGUUGUAGUAAUAUAGUUUCUUGUUAAUUAAAAGUUCUAAGUAAUAUAGUUUCUUGUUAAUUAAAAGUUCUAAACAAUUUAGAAAGUACAAUUCAACUUGGAUUUUAUAUGAAAUAUUAUUUCUCAAACCUAAACUAUUUAGGAAUCCAAAUUCAAUAACAAAUAACACCAAUUUAGGGCUUGGACAAAAACCCAUCCAAGAAAGAAAGCAAGUUCUAGCUAGGGUAGUCCACUAAACUUGGUGAUUAAGAAACCAAAUUUUGAAAUCUUGGUGAACAAGUUUCCUAAGAUUCCUAACAUUGAUUAUCAAGUAGAUUUUCAUUAAAAUCUUAUUGUACAAGUUUUUAAAGUCUCUUAACUUUUAAUAACACCAGCUACAUCAAGAAAACCAGUUACCAUAAUCAUAUUAAGGAAACCAUGCAUCACAUGCAUGCUUUACAUGCCCAGCUACCAGUAGCAGAUUUUUGGGCAGAACUUGUUAUCAACUUUUGAAUGACCAAAUCAUCAAUAUUUUUAUUUUCAAGUAUUAAAAUUUCAUAGCCAAAUAUUACCAAAUAUUAUCCCUAGAGUGAGAAUUAAUUUUUGUAAUAUCACUAUAAUAUAAUUUUCUUGAUAUGGACAUAUUGCAAACAAAAACUUUAUUGAGCAUGCAAACAAUAUCCAAAAAUCAUCAAAUUUAAUACCAAUAAUCCUAAGACACCAUGUUUUGAUAUUCUAAAAGAAUGCAAUCAAAAUAAUAUAGAAAAAAAUUAAUUUUUUAGCCUCUACAUCACAAUAACAGAUUGUAAUCAACACAGUUUUAAUAUCAUGAACAACCAACCAAACUUCUAAUUUGUAUAAUCUAUAUUAACAAGGCUUUGAUACCACUUGAAGGGAAUUAUGUAUUAUUAUCAGAGUUAAAGCAAUGGAAUUUUAAAAAAUUUUAAUUCCCUAAAGCCAAGAUCAAUCACUAAGAUUAUACAAACAAAUAACUUCACAAGCAUGCAUAGGUUUUAGCUUAGAUGCUUACCUUAAAUGCCGAAAUUCUUUUAGUUCAGCUUGGUGAUCUUCCAAAUAGAUUCCAAGCCUAGAAAUUGCCAAAAUGUUUAGCCCCUAAUGGUGAUCUAUACGAACUCUUGUGAAAAAACCUUCUCUAAGGUUUGCCAAACUCAAUGCUACACUAUAGCUCGUAAGUGUUUGCAUAACCUUUCGUAUUUUCUUGAGUGAAACUUCUUUUCUAACUACUUUUAUGUAAGAUGGGGUGACUUGAUAUCUUUUUUAUAUGGGAUGCAUUUAACUAAAUUAGGCUUAAUGCUUGGAAUAAAAAUUUCCACAGUUAACCCUAUGCUAGUUGAAUGUACCAAAUAAGGGAAACUUUUUCUUUUAUUUGUAUUUCCUCUAUUUUUGGUCAUACAAAAAACAAGUUUAGUCCAACUUAAUUUGUCCCAAUUUCAAUCUUUCUCAAUUGUUCCAAUGUAUGAGAUGCAUUAAGUUCUUUAGCAAGUUGGCAAUAAACACAAGCAUUGUAAGCGUUAGUAUUUAGCUUUGGGUGAAAAAAACUUUUUGUCUUUAUAACCAAUUCUCCAAUUAGCUAGUCUUAUGUUUAUAGAUCAUGAUCAAUGCUUGCUUCAUUACAAUGAACCCUAAUUGCUAACAAAAACUCAAUAUGGCUUGACAACCUAUCCAUGAAUAGUCUCAGUGUAUAAUUAAUAUCCUUUCAUCACAUAGUAUUUCAAUUUAAACAUUAAGUAUAGUUUAAUGCCUACUUAAUCUUGUUCAAUCAUGGUUAGUCUUGUCCUUGACAUUAACUCACAAAUAAGCUUUAGAAUAAGUCUAAACUUUUAUUUCACUUUGGCGUAAGAUUUCUCAAGGUAUUUCAAUCAAGACUAGUUAAGACACUCUCUUGAUCACACAAGGUGAUGAAUCUCAUCCUGAUUACUUCAUGCAUCUUCAUAUGCCUCAUGUUAUACCUAACAAUACUUGAUUUGAGCAUUCUUGGUUAGAACCAUAAGUAAAGUAAAGUCAAAGUAUAGCAUUUAUCAUAUAAGAUCAUAAAUAAUCUUAAGUCAAAGGAUCACUUAUACAACCAUCACAUGAGAAUGUAGCUAUAGACACUAUGUGAACUAACAUAUAGCAUUCUCAUAUUAGGUCACAUUCAAUAAACUUGCUCUUGUAACAAACAUCUAUAUGUUAGCUCAAGUUUAUCCAAACUUUAACUUAUGAGAUCGGUUGCUUGCUUCAUAUGCAAAAUAUAAACAUAUGCUAGCCUCAACAACUUUUGUUAAUGUCCUCUUAUUGAUAAAGCAUCAACUAAAAACAAUUUUAGAAUAUAUAGCUUUUAUACAAAGAUGAUCUCAUAAUUACAAUCUCAUUGUAAGUCCCUUGCAAAGCUUUAUUUAUAUUAUGAGGACUUUACAUAUAAGCAUCAACAUUGAAAUAUAUGUAUACAAGCUCAAUGACAAAGAAAUAAAACCUUUAUAACAUAUCAAAUAUCAUUGUACUAUAAAUAUGACAAUAUCUUAGCCAAAAUAAGAUUCGGCUUAAAGGGAAAAUACCAACAAAUCAUGUGUUUAACAAGGUUUUCAUGACCGCAAUUGUCUUCAAACUUUUGGUCCUGGACAGGUCAUCAAUAGUCAAAUCAUACUUGUCUGAUUAAAAUCUUUUUCUUAAUUCAAAUAUUCCUUCUUCUUCUUUUCUUUACCAUUUUUUCACUAUGAUCUCUCCCACAAUCCUUAUCUCCUAUUUCUUUAUCAUCAUUCAUCAUUUCUGUUCAUUCAUUCACCCAUCAUUUUGCCAUUUCCAACUUUCUUCAAUUUUCAUUCCAUUCAUUCAUUUUUCAUUCAAUCAGCCAUCAUUUCCAUUUCCUAUUGACUUUCCUAUUCUUUAUUUCAUCAUUUCAUCAUCAUUUUUAUUUCAUUCAUCAUUACAUUUUUUUCAUUUAUCAUUACAUUUUUUUCAUUUUUCCCACUUUGCCUUUCUUUCACCCUUUUUUCUUAAUUGGUGCAAUUUCAUUAAGCUUAAUGAUCUCAUCUAUAUGCCAGCUAAUUAGGGCUUAAAUCUUAUCGCUGCCAGCUAGACUGGGCUUAAAAUUCUCUAGUGCCAGCUAAACUGAGCUUGAUUUUUCCUUAGUGCUACUUAAACUAACCUUAAUUCUCUUCGAUGUCAGCUAAAUUAGGCUUAAAUCUCACUAGUGCUAGCUAGACUGGGCUUUACUUUCCUUGGUGCUAGCAAAAUUAAGCUUAAUUCUCUUUGGUGCCAACUAGAUUGGUCUUAAUUUUCUCCCAUGCCAACUAGACUGGCUUAAUUCUCCUUAGUGCCAACUAUACUAGGCUUAAUUUUCCUUGAUGCCAGCUAGACUGGGCUUAAUUCUGCAUAGGUACUAGCUAAAAUGGCUUAAUUUUCCUCAGAGCUAGCUAGACUAGGUUUAAUUUUUCUCAGUACUUAUAAAAUUAGGGUUAAUUCUUCUUGGUGCCAGCUAGACUAGGUUUAAUUCUUCUCAGUGCUGGCUAGACUAGGCUUAAUUCUCCUUGGUGCUAGCUAGACUAAGCUUAAUUCUCUAUAGGAGCCAGCUAAAUUAGGCUUAAAUUCUCUUGAUGCUAGCUAAAUUGGACUUAAUUCUUCUUGGUGCCGACUAAACUUGUCUUAGUUCUUAUAUAUUUUUUAGAAAAUAAAUUCUUGACAUUUACUCAACUGUUAUCAUAUCUCAUCUUUUUCAUUUUUUCAACAACCCAUCUCUUUUAUGGAUUCCAUUUUCAACUCUUCAAACCCUUACGUAAUUUUUGCCUUUCAUCAAACUAUUUUCUCUUUUUCUUUUUUUUUCUUUUCUCAUGAUAAACUUCUUUGUCUCUUUUUGCUUUCUUUAUUUUCUUUUUCUUUUUUUCUUUAUUUUUUUCUCCUAUUUUUCUAACUCUUUCCUUCCAUUCUUUUUCUAGUAGACUCUACUUUCUUGUCUCUUGAAUUAGGAGAUUAUUUUCCUUUUAGAUUCUUUCCUUUGACAGACUUCUAGUUUUAUCUUAUGUUCUUUUUUUAUGUUGUUUUUAAUACUCACAAAGUUGACAAAUGCAAUCAUGGCACAAAUGUUUAUUUCUAACAAAUGAUGUGAAUGCAAAGGUCUUUAUGCAAAUGCAAGAAUUCAUGUUAUGACAGAAUGUUUUCAUGAUACAAAUACUCAAUGCAAAUACAAGUAACGUUUUCAUGAAGCAGAUGCCAAUGUUCCUUUCAUGUAGAUGACUCUACAAUGAUAUGAAUUUUUUUUUUAUGACAAAAACAUACCUAAGAAGAUGCAUGGUAAAUUUUUUUACUAGCAACUUUCUUUUCCAUGAUACAAAUGCCUCUUAUGAAAACAAAUACCGAUGUUUAUGAUAUGAAUGCCCUAAACAUAUAAAUGCAUAUUUGCAAAAUCAAUUUUUUUCAAGUACUCCUUGUAACCAUAGAACUUCAUUUCACAAAUGUCAAUGCCCAUGCAGAUGCAAAAACCUCAUGAUGUAUGUACCCUGACAUAAAUGUAAACAUCAAAAACACUCCCUUUUUCAAAAGGGAAUUCUUUCCAAAUUCAGCUGAUCUCUUAUUGCCCAUCCAAUUAAAUCAUCAAUUUUUCCCAAAAUGAUCUAAACUUACCAUUUUGCUAUUCCUUCACAUAUUCCAACUUGUUUCUUGAACAAUUUCUACCUAUUUACUUUUAGACAAGUCCACUUUUUUUUCCUUUCAUUUUCAACAUGCUUUCUUUUAUUUUUACAAACAUACACAUGCAACAUGCAACAUGCAUUUUGGACUCAAUUUAUGGAAACAAGACACACCAUUAUUCCUAAAAUAAUUUUCUUUUCUCUUUUCUUUCCUUCCUAACAACAUUCAUUCUUCAUUGAAAAUCAUUUUUUCCUUAAAUCCAAACUACUAAUAUGAUUUCUUUAUUUUACAAAAAUAUGUGACUGGUUAUUCAAAAUUUUCUUCAAAAUGAUCAACAAAAUUUGCCCCACACAAUUAAAUUCCUUAAUCAAAGAAAAUAAAAUAUCUAAACAAAUGUGAAUUUGAGAGUCUCUUAGGAAUUGACGUUCCUUAGUAGAAAUGAAAAAGGUGACAAUUUUUUUUCAACAGAUUAGAUUGUUUAGCAUGUAAAGGUUUCAAUUUGUUCAAAAAAGGCUAUACUUUUCAAUGUAGGCUUACAACUGAAACAAGAAUUUUUCUAAAAUCAUGAAUACCUUGAAAACCAAACAUGUUCAAUAUUUUUUUUAGUAUCUAAAUGUGGCACUUUUAUUGAUAUGAAAGUUUGCUAUGAUGGGUUGCAAAAUUUUGGAAGGGAUGGGGAAAGAAAGCUUCAAUUUUUUAAAAAUCAAUCUCUUUUUGUGUAUUUCAAACCUUUGGGGACCUUAUUGCACUUAAAUUUUAGCUUUUUCAUACCUAUUUCUAGUGUAAUGUUUCUUAUAUUUUGGCUUAUUCUUAAGGAUUUUGGCAAAAUUAUUCCUAAAUGCAUAUUUAUCUCAUGUGUAGCUACAAAUUAUGAAAAUGAGGAAUUUUCGUCAAUCUGGAUACAAAUAUGGAGGAUUUUUGGUCCAUUUUGUGCAAAUGGCCUAAAUUAGUGUCAAUAGAUCACAUUGAAUGAAGUGUUUUUACUUUUCUUGCCUAAUUAUUUUUCAUAGUUUUUUGUAAUAAAAUGUAUGCUAAAUAAAUUCAUUCAAGUGUUUGGAAUUGUUUGCAGAAAAAAAAAUUGAAUGAAGCAUGCAAGAAAGGAUGGACGUGCAUGGGUGCAUGGAAGAGUGAUCAAGCAAAUGGCGUUAUAAGCUAGGUUUGAGUCAUCAAAGAAAGUAGAUGAUGUAGCAUUAUUAGAGGUUUUGAUUGGCUAUUAAAUUGACUUUUUGAAGUAGCAAAUUAUAUGUGAAAUCAAUUAGCAAAGCUAUUGAAAAAGCAACCAAACCACCAGCCAUGCACCCGAUGUUGCAACACCAAGAGAAAAAGGCUCCAGAAAUGCCUAGCCAAAUGAAGAACUUUUUGGAUUUUUUUUAGACCUUAAGCUCCUCCCUUGUGCCUAUAAAUAGAGGGAGAGGGUUCACAUUAGAAGAGAGUUAGUUUAGGAUUUAAAUCUUUGUUUCCUCAUUUUCUUGCACUUUCCUUUCCAUAAUUUACUUUUUCUUAGUUUCCAAACAUUAUUUUUCCAGCAUUUUCCCUUUGAAUUUCAUUGCAAAUUUGCUUUUUCUUAAGUGUUUUUAAGUGUUCUUUCAUAAUCAUUUGAUAAAAUUUACAUUUGAAUUCAUUUUCUAGCUUAAACUACCAAUUUCUCAUUGAUACUCAAAUCUAUCUUUAAAUAUGCCAAUUUUGACAUACUUGCAGUUUUUGGAUGAUAUCUCUAUCAAAUCUUGAUUAUUUUUUAUCAAUUUUUUUAAUAGUUUCCCAAUUCAUUUAGCGAUAACCUAGUUUCAAUUCAACUUCAAACUCGCAACACAGCAUUCUAGAUCAAGCUUAAAAGUUCUGGCUAGAUGUAGGUGACAGAUACAAGCCAAACGUGAUCCAUCAACUUUGGCAUGGAAUUGCUCUCCCUUUGGCGAUUUGAUUGCCUUCUCUUCACUUUAGAUAUUCAGUUCUACUUAUUACCUUGCUGAAUUUCACUUUGUGCAAUUUUAUUUCAUAUUUUUAAUAGCUUUUUGGAUCAAAAUUGUUGAAUACAUUAUGUUUAUGCUUAGUUGUGUAUUGUUUCAUUUCCUAUCUUAGUGAGCUGAUUUUCUUGUUACUUUCUAUGAAUUUUUUUGUUGAAAUCUAUAGUAAACUUGUUGUUUGAUCUUAUUUUAGUUCAGUUUAAGCUCAUGUUUGUUAGAAAUUUUUAAAUCUAUAUUUUUAGUUUGUGAAUCAUUAAAAUUUUGUUUUAACACAACUGUUGUUUGGUUAAUUUUUUAGUUCCUUCAUAUGACUUUUCUAAAAUUUUUUAUUUCUCUUUACUUUCUCACCUUGUUCCUUAGUUAAACCUUAAAUUUUCAGCCCAUGUUAACUUGAUUUUGCAUCAUUUAAAGCUAGAAUAGUAGUUUCAAAUUCAGUUUCCAAAUUCUAGUAUACUAUUGAUUUUCAUGUUCUAGCUUAGAUUUUACAAUUUUCUUUCAUUGCUUGCGUUUCAAAUCUGUUUUUAGUUUAGGUCUUUAAUUGGUUUUGCAAUUUAAAUUUUGAUUGUAUUCAAUUUGAUGCAAUUUAGCAUUUGUCUUGCUUGUAAACUCACAAUUUUUAUGAUUUUCUUCUAGUUUAGCUUUAGGCUAGUUAAUUGAAUUUUGUGAUUUUAGUUCUUAACGCUCAUUCAAAUAUGAUUUCAUUUAGAAUUGUUAGCUUUAUAGGUUAGAUGGUGAUCCAAGAGAGGGGUAAAUUGGAUCUCUCUAAAUUCUUCUCAAACAAUGAUUUCAAUAUAGUUGAAUGGAAAUUAAGACAAUAAGCACUUUUGAAGAAAAUAUAAUGCAAACAAUAACAAUUAAUGAACUUAAAAUCAAAUAUGGACAACAAUAAAUUAUAAGGAGAUAGGGAUAGAGAAAUCAAACACAAUGAUUUAUAGAGGUUCGAUCCUUCUCCAUAGGGCACCUACGUCCUUUCUCUUGGUUGUCCACACCAAGGCUCAAAUCCACUAUGUGUUGAAGAUUACAAAUAAGCUUCUCAAAGCUUUACAAACUCAACACUACACACUCUUAAGGGUUAUCCUCCCCUUUACAAGCACACAAUACAAAAUUUUGAAGUAUUUUGCAAACUCUAAGAACUUCUCAAAGGUUGGGUGUUUGCUAAUUUGAAGUACACAAUGGUAUAGACAAGAAAAUGAUGAAUGAACAACAAUAAAUAAUUUGGAUACAAUAAAUACAAAAAUAUAGACUUUAAAGCUCUAAGAACUCUUGAUUAUUUGAAAGAAUGAAAAUAUUGCUUGUUGGCAUUUGCUCUCUUGAUUCAUCAAUCUUCUUAGUGUGUUGGAGUGCCCAAUUUAUAGAGAAAUUGAAAAGGUAGCUGUUGGAAGUGUUUGGGAGAGAAAAAUAGCCAUUGGAAGCACCAAAAAGUAGUCGUUAGAGUGUUUUCGCCCAAAGCUGAUCGAUCCCUUACUUGAGGGGAUCGAUUGGUUCAUGUCUUGAACCAUUUUUCACUUGAAAAUCAUGACCCAAUCGAUCCCUUCCAUGAGGGGAUCGAUCUUGUCAGUGGCUGGGUGGUUAUCUCAUGUUUUACACUCUACUCACUAAUUUGAUCAUAUCUUGAGCUAUAUAAAUCCAAAUCACAAACCAUUUCAAGAUUUAGAAAUUAAACUUAAAGGGCUUUCUAUCCAUAUAAAAUUAAUCACCUAAUUCAUUAAGUAUGAAUUAUAGUGAAUUUUCAAAUUUAAGCCUUAUGUAGUUUUUCUAAUAACUGCAGAGUGUCUAGUAAAAAUUCAAAAUUUUUUCUUAGAAAAUUUGGAUUUUAAUUUUGUUUAAUCUAUUAGAAAUUAGACUCAAAGAGCUUUCCAACCAUAUAAAAUUUAAAUAUUAAAACUUUGUGAAUUAAUACAAAAAAAUAAAGUAAGUUUAAUGUUGGAAAACUUUGUUCUUGUAAAACAACUUUCUUAAGUUAAUCUAUUUCUCAAAACCAAUAUUAUCAAAAUUGUAAUAAGUCUAAAAUGAAUAAGUUCACUUUAAAAACAACAAUUGUACUUUCAUUUAAGCUCAAAUAAAUAAUCUUUAAAGAUAGAUUUGGUUUGAGAAAUAUGAAAAAAAAAGAAAGGUUUGUUUAAGCUUUGAAAAUCAUAUUAUUUAUUUAGUACCAAAAUAUAAAACUUAAGAAUAUGUACUAAAUAAAUCCUUUUUCAAAAUCUUGAUCAAGUUUAUUUAGCUUUAAUUUUUUGUCAUUUCAAAAUAAGGAUCAAUUCAAGGCUAACAAGAAUGGAUUAUUGUAUUUUCCCAUUAUAUUUAGUUUGGUUUUUUAUUUGACAAUAUGACAAUGUCUUGGUCAAGAGUUCUCGUUAGCCUUGAAUGUGAUAAUGUCUUGGCCAAAAUAUGAUUCAGCUUGAAGGGCAAAUAUAGAUAGUAAUGAAAACAAAAAGUUUAUUCCAUCUAUAGCCGAAUACUAAGGCUCACAAUGCUUAUGUUUAUUGCCAACAUGCUAAAAAACCUAAUGGGCCACACAUAAUAAGACAAUUGUGAAAGAUUAAAAUCGGGGUAAAUUAAGUUAGACUUAAUUUGGUUUUAGUAUGACCAAAAAUUGAUGAAAUAAAACAAGAAAAAGAGUUUUCUUUUAUUUUGAUGGAUUCGACUAGCAUAGGUUUUCUAUGGAAAUAUACAUCCAUGCAUUGAACCUAAGGUUGGCAGGACACUUCCCCUACAAUUGGGACAUCAAGUAGUCACCCUCUUGUAUAAUUCUUGUAAGUAAUUAGCAAGUUUCGCUUAAGGCUAAAACAAGCUAAGAGAGCCUAAGCAAAACUUGAGAGAAUACAAAAUGUCUUGCAAACACUUAUUAGCUAAAGUGUGGUUUUGAGGUCUACCACACCUUAGAAAAGGUUCUUUCACAAGCAUUCAUGUGGAUUACCAUUAGAGGCUAAACACUUGGGUAGGUUCUUCACUCGGGAAACUAUUUGGAAGGUCCAAAUUGAAACAAAGGAAUCCUGGCAUUCAGGGUAACACCUUUAGCCGAAAUUAUGCAUGCUUUUGUGUGUGUAUAUAUAUAUUAUUUGUAUGAUCUUAUUGAUUGAUCUUGGCUUUAAGGAAUUAAAAAUUUUAAAAUUACACUAUUUUAACUCUGUAUAUGGUUGCAUAAUUCCCUUGAAGUAGUAUCAAAGCCUUGUCAAUAUAGAUUCAUAUUAUCAAAACUAUUUUGGUUGCAAUCUGCCAUUGUGAUGUAAAGGCUAGAGAAUUGAUUUUUUCUAUAUUGUUUUGAUUGGAUUCUUUUAAAAUAUCAAAUAUGAUGUCUUAGGAAGAUUGGGUAUAAAUUUUAUGAUUUUUGGACAAUUUUUGCAUGUUCUAUGAAUUUUUGUUUGUAAUUUGUCCAUAUCAAGAAAAUUCACUGUAGUGAUAUUACGAAAUUGUUUCUCACUCGAAGAAUAUUAUUUGGCUACUAAUUUUUAAUAUAUGAAAAUAGUCAUAUUGGUGAUAAUUUUGUAAAAAUUUCAUAAUUUUUGGAGUUGUUUAGUCAUUCAAAAGUUGAUAAGUUUAGCCUAGAAAUCUAUUAAUGGCGGUAAGGUAUGUACAAUAUGCAUAUGAUGCAUAAUUACCCUAAUAUGAUUAUGGUAAUUGGUUUUUUUAAUGCAGCUGGUAUUCUUAAAAGUUAAGAGACUUUAAAAACUUGUUCACUAAUAUUUUAAUGAAAAUCUACUUGGUGUUCAAUAUUGGGAAUCAUAGGAAACUUGUUUACCAAGACUUCAAGAUUUGUUUUUUUAAUCACCAAGUUUAGUGAACUAUUUUUAUAAAAAUCAAAGUAAUUAUUACUUGUGAUUGAAGAAUCAUGACCAAAGGCAUAAGAAAGCAUCGAAAAGUGUUUAGAACUCUUGAAUGGUGGCUAGUAGGGGUGGAAUAGCAUAAUAUGGCCGAAACUACUAAGUUGCCAUAAAUUCUACCUUAGUUGCAACUUGCUUCCUAUUUUGAAUGAUUAUUUUGCCAAGCCCUAGUUUGAUGAUAAUUCUUGUUGAAUUUGGAUUUCUAAAUUGUUUGGGUUUGAGAAAUAAAUUUUCAUAUAAAAUCCAAAUUAAAUUGGACUUUCAAAAUUGUUUACAACUUCUAAUUAGCAAGAAACUAUUUCACUACAACACCUAGUUGAACUAGGAAAUUCCCAAUGCAUAUAUUUUGGCUUGAUUUUAAUUGAUUGGCAUUCCUAAAUGGUUUAGAGCAAUGUUAAACCUGUUACAUGAAAAUCCAAGUAAAAUUAUGAUAACUUAAUUGUUUAGGAAAUUAUAAUUGCAAAUUACAUGCUCUUACAAUAAUAGUUAGACAUAUUCAACCAAACUAACAAAACAUGUCUAUGUUUUACAUCACAUUGAGUUGAAUUGAUGAUUGAUAUAUGAUAUUGAUAUUGAUUCAAAGAUAGAUGUGCAAGAUGAUGAAUUUCAACUAAAAAUGAUGAUUGUUGUAGUAUGUAUGCUAGUUAUGAGAUAAAUGCCACGUAUGCUAUGUUGAUUUGUUAUUAUACAUGCUAGAAUUUAUAUGUGAUAAACUCCUUAUAUAGUUGUGAAAUACAUGAUAAGAUUACAUGUAUUGGAUGAAUGAUGCAUUCUUAUGCAUGCUUGAUGAGACCUAUGAUGAAUUAAAAAAAAUCCCUUAUGAAAAAUAUUAAGUCUUGAUGCCCUUCAUUAACAUAAACAACUGAACAUUCUACUAGCGGGGCUUAUUGAGACUAAACUCAAGGUACUUAUUAUUCAAAAUAAGAUUGUGUUAUAGUUAAUGGGUCUUAGCAAUUAUUAUAUUGUUCGAUAUGACAAAGUUACUUUACCAAAUUUACUUAUCAUGGCUUAUUGAGACUAACCUCAAGGUUAUGAUAAACUAAAUGAGAUCAUAGCCCACUAGAAAAAAGUAAUUUUUCUAAAUUGAUAGUGAAGGCCAUUGAUUUCAUUAAAAUUGUGGGAGCACCCAAUAUAUAUAUUUAGACCUUAUCUAUAUUGGUACUGAACAAUAUGACCAAUACUUGUUCAUAUUUUGUAGGUGCAAAAAUGAUUAAGAACUUGUCGCUUCAUUGUAUACUUGAUGCUAACAAUCUCAUAAAGCCUAACUUCAAUGAUUGGUUUACCACAAUCUAAAGCUUAUCCUAAGACAAGGUAAAAUGCUUUAUAUUCUUGAUGAGCCAGUUCUAUUAGAACUAAAUGCUAGUGUUAAUGAUGAAGUGUGGCUAGAUUGUGAAACCCACAACAACCAUACUGAUUAAGCCGCAUGUAUCAUGGUGGCUAGCAUGACUCCUGAGUUACAAUGGCAACAUGAGAAUAUGGAUGCUCCAACAAUCAUUUUGCACAUUAAGGAAUUGCUUGACAAACAAGGGCAAACUGAGAGAUUUGAGACUUUUAAGGAAUUAUUCCAAAGUGAUGUCUAAAAGCAUUAUCUCAAGAUGAUCAAGAAACUUGGACAAUUUGGAUUUGCGAUAGAUCAUGAGUUAGGUGUUGACUUGAUCUUGUUAUCUUUUCCUAAUAGCUUUUCACAAUUUCUAAUAAACUUCAAUAUUCAUCAAAUAGAAGUAAUAUUACCAUAAUUGAUAAAUAUCCUAAACACUAUCAAAAAGUUCAUUAAGAAUCAAAAGCCUGAUACUCUUUUAGUUUCUUCAUCUAAAGCCAAAAAGAAGUUAACAAGAAAAAGAAAAGUAAGAAGGUUGAUAACCUAUCUCUUUUUAACACAUCUUUUUAGGUGUUGGAUACUGGAUGUGGUUUUUACUUAUGUGAUGACAUAUAGGGACUAAAGAAGAGUAGAUACCUAAAGAAGGGAAGGGUGUCCUUAUGUGUUAUAAAUGAUGCAAGUGUUGUUGCCUAUGCCAUGGGGACUUAUUAUUUGCCUUUACCUUCUGGUUUAGUUUUAAAACUAAAGGAUUGUUAUUAUAUUCCUGUCAUAACUUGAAACAUCAUUUCAAUUUCUUAUUUAAGUAUGAUUGAUGGAUACUCAUUUAAUAUUAAAGGUAAUUGUUGUUCCUUUUAUUUAAAUGAUGCAUUUUAUGGCAUGGGAAUGUAUGAUAAUGGCUUAUAUGUUCUUAUAUUAAACAAUCAUGUUUUCAAUAUAAAUGUCAAAAAACCUAAGUUAAAUAAAUUGAAUCAAUCAUACUUGUGGCACUGUAGGCUUGGUCAUAUCAAUGAAACAAGAAUCACAAAGUUAUAUAAACAAGGUACUUUGAUCCUUUUGCUUAUGAAUCAUAUGGAACUUAUGAAUCAUGUUUACUUGAAAAGAUGACCAAAUCACUAAAAGGAAAAAAAAAAGUAGUGUGGUUCUUAGACUAAUACAUUCGGAUAUAUGUGGCCCAAUGAAAACAAAUGUUAGAGAAGGGUACUCUUAUUUCAUUAUAUUCAUUGAUGAUUAUAUAAGAUAUGGUUAUGAAUAUUUAAUGAAAUACAAGUCUGAAUCCUUUGAAAAGUUCAAAGAAUUUAGAAUGAAGGUUGAGAAGAAAAUUGGUAAAAGUAUCAUGACACUUAGAUCAAAUCAAGGUGAUGAAUAUUUAAGCCAUGAGUUUCUAGGCUAUCUAAAAAAGAAUAGAAUUCUCUUACAAUGGACUCCACUUGGAACACCACAACACAAUGAAGUUUUCGAAAGGAGAAAUAGAAAAUUGUUAGACAUGGUUAGAUCCAUGAUGAGUAAUUUGAAUCUUCCUAUAUCCUUCUAGGGUUAUGCACUUGAAACAGCCACUUAUAUUCUAAAUAUCUAAAUUUGUUGAUAAUACAUCAUAUGAAAUAUGGAAAUGUAAAAGACCUAGCUUGUCAUACAUAAGGAUUUGGGGAAAUAAUGCUUAUAUGAAGCAUGCACAAGUCAACAAGCUUAGAGCUAGAUCGGUUAAGUGUAAAUUUAUGAGAUAUUCAAAGGAAACUACUAGAUAUUAUUUCUACAACUCUAAGAAACAAAAGGUGUUUAUUUCUAAACAUGUUGUCUUCUUGGAAAAAAGAGUUUGUCCUUAAAGAGAACAUUGGGAGUAAAGGAGAACUUGAUAAAGUUCAAGAAACAUAAAUUGACACAAGAAUGGAAUUUGAGCUAAUGGCUAAGGCUUCAAAUGCACAACCAAAAGUUCAAAGUACACAAGAACUCUAUAGGUCAAGUAGCAAGACUCACUAAGUUCCUGAAAGAUAUAGAUUUCUCAUGGACAAGGACGAUUUGAUAAUAGAUUAUGAUCCUACUACCUAUCCAAAAGUAAUAUUGGACAUUGAUUCUAAGAAUGGCAUAAGGCCAUGAAAUUUGAAAUAUAACAAAUGUAUGCAAACCAAAUAUGAACUUUGGAGGAACCAUCCAAAGGGAUAAAACCCAAAGGGUGCAAGUGGGUUUUCAAGAAAAAAAUUAACAUGGAUGGCAAUGUACAAACAUACAAAACCAGGCUAGUUGCAAAAGUUAUAAUCAGAAUCAAGGAGCUCAUUUUCAUGAAACUUUUUCACCAGUAGCUAUGUUAAAAUCCAUUAGGAACUUGCUUGCUAUUACCACAUAUCAUGACUAUGAGAUAUGGUAAAUGGAUGUUAAAGCAACAUUCCUUAGUUGGAAUUUGCCAGAGGAUGUGUACAUCACACAACCCAAAGGCUUUGAAUCAAAAAAUCAUGUCAACAUGGUAUGUAAGCUUCAAAAGUAUCUAUGUACUUAAGCAAACAUCAAAGAGUUGGAAUACACAUUUUGAUGAAUUAUAGAAUUCAGAUUCAUAAAAACCGUAGAUGAGCCUCAUGUAUACAAGAAGACAAGUGUGAGUGCAAUCAUUUUCAUAAUGUUAUAUGUGGAUGGUAUAUUGCUUAUAAGAAAAUAUAUACAUCAUUACAACAAAUUUUGUCUAUUAGUAACACAUAAAAUAAUGUCACUAAAUAUUUGUUUUUCAUCACCAUAUAUAUUUUGUGACAAAAAAUUAAACGUCACAACAUUCAUUAUGUUUGCACCGUCACUAAAGAUCUAACAUGAAGAUACCAAAAUAUCUUCACCUAUUGUAAAUUUAUCGUGACAAUAAGAGUCAAACAUCAUCUUAUACUUUUUUUUUUGUGACGUUAAUUUUUGUCAGUUAUUUAUGAAAAAAAAUGUCAUUAAAAACUAUAAUUGUCACAAAAUAAAUGAUAAAAUUUGAUAUAUUUAUGACAAAAGGUAAAUUGUCACAGCAUUGGUGAUAUAAUUAUCGUCACCAAUUAUUAUAAAAUAAUGUCAAGCAUAACAAUAAAAGCAAACGCCGUCUUAUACUUUUUUUUGUGAUGUUAUUUUUCAUCGACUAUUUAUGAAAAAAAAAAUGUCACUAAAAGCUAUAAUUGUCACAAAAUAAAUGACAAAUUCUAAUAUAUUAGUGACGAAAAGUAAAUAAUCACAAUUUUAGUGACCUAAUUAUUGUCAUCAGUGAUUAUAAGAUAAUGUCAAACAUGACAAUAAAAUCUAAAAUCACCUCGUGUUUUUUUAAGAUAUUAGAUUUUGUCAGCUAUCUAUGAAAAAAAAUCAUUAAAUGCUAUAAUUGUCACAAAAUAAAUGAUAAAAUAAUAAUCUUCUUAGUUGAACAAAACUAAUAAUCUUGAAUCCUGCUUCUUGGGCCCGCAAUAUUUGCUCCAAUCUUUUGUGUUUUUCCAUUGGUGAUAAUACUUCAACAUACUGCAAGAUAUCAGAAUGAUGAAUUUCUCAAUAGCUCUAUAAUAAAAGUAACCAUUUAUUCACAAUAAAAAAUACUAAACAACUUUUAGGUUCCCAAAUCUACAUUAAAUUAAAUCAAGAUUAGUAGUAAGAGAGUUCAAACCUGCGUAUUAGACUUGUUUGCCACAAUCAUCAUCAUAUUGCCCAAUGUUGACCUGAUAGAUCUACAGUAGAUCUACAUACAAUGUUUUGAGAUUCCCCUUGCCAUGUUUGUUGUGUACAUGGAGGUCUAGUUGCAAGUAGGCACUUUUUUCGCAAUCUUCCAUAUUUUAGGUUGAAAACCCAUGUCUAACAUUCGAUCAGCCUCUUUUAACACAAGGUAAGAAACUUGAUGGAGGCUAAUUCUCCUCAUCUCUAGAAUAUCAUUUAACCGGCCAGGAAUGGCAACCACGAUAUCUACUCCUCUCUCAAUCUCUCUCCAAUGAGGACCUUU
Molecule: long non-coding RNA, 70714 nt
Filed under: Durio zibethinus
Lineage: Eukaryota; Viridiplantae; Streptophyta; Magnoliopsida; Malvales; Malvaceae
Description: long non-coding RNA (DZIB_LNC001687)
Source: RNAcentral